RNAcentral lists this long non-coding RNA (45246 nucleotides) under Dunaliella salina. Its description in RNAcentral is "long non-coding RNA (DSAL_LNC000162)". The record is from RNAcentral. Lineage: Eukaryota; Viridiplantae; Chlorophyta; Chlorophyceae; Chlamydomonadales; Dunaliellaceae.
UUUAUCUUCUUCCUCUUGUGACUGUUGGUCUUCACACAUAAUUAAUGCCAUGGAUGGAUUGCAUCAUGCUAGUCAAUUCAAGCACAACAUAAUGAAUUGUGAACCAAUCCACCUUCGACAAUUUGUGGUUGACCUCAGAUCCAGACAGGUUCAUUAUUGGACUCAAUUCUCCGGCCCCACUCCCAGACAGCGGAAUAGCAAACACCGUACUUAUCAUCAUUGGUGUGUGAUACCUAUCCGCAACAUUGUAGCCACCCAGGCCCCUUAUCAAACUCCCAAAUAUUUCUACCUUGCCCUUCCCAACGAUGUUCUUUGCAAUGUUGCCCGCUUUAGGCUUCGUGUCCAUACUCUUCAGUAUGAAACAUCUACUUGGAAUCAGGGUUCUUCCUCUCAUUGUGAUUUAUGUCAGGAUGUAGAUUGUAUCCAAGAUGAAAAACAUGUUAUUUUUCACUGUACUCACCCCCAUGUCGUUGCAUUGCAUGCUAAGUAUGCCUUCCUAUUCAAUAAUCAGGAGGCUCAAAAUGUUCGUAAUUUUCUUCUUCAAGAUAAUAAUAAACUUGCUUAUUUUAUCCAUGAAAUUGUUACUUUUUAUGAACAGGCUAGCAGUCGUGCGUUUUGACUGAAGGCCUUUUUCUUUCCUGUAACCCUGUAACCCUGUAACCCUAGCUGCAGUUCCACAACUACGGCAUAGCUGCUGCAUACCUCUCUUGCCUCAACCAGGCAGGGAACAGGUACCCUGAGCUGCCACCAAACCCCACAACCCAGCCUCCUUUGCCCGCACCUCCCGCAGCACAAGCCCCUGUACAACCAGCACUUUCUCCUCCUGUGCCUUUCCACCCCUUCUGCAGCGCCGUGAGCAACAACUUCUUUCAUCGCGUGAGACGCCUGUGGGUGAGACUGAGCCUGUUAAAAGGCCAACACCCCUCUACAGUUACAGUUACAGUUACAGAGAAGAAAGGCCUGCAGUCAAAUCGACUGACUGCUAGCCUGUUCAUAAAAAAGUAAAAGUUCAUGCAGGAAAGGAUAAAGUUUAUUAUUGUUUUGGUUCAAAAAACAUCGCAUGGCAAUCGGUGGAACAUGGUGAGAUGCAUGCAGGAAAGGUGCCGCUUGAGAUUCUGGAGUUGCGAGGGAAAGGGCAUGUUCAUUAAACAAGGAUGCAUAUUUCCUUCUAAGAUUGCAAACAUGAGGGUGAGUACAUUUAAAUAGCACAUGUUGUUCAUCCUGAACGUCAUCGUGAGCAUCACACAGAUCGCACUUAGUAUCAAUAUUUUCAUUCCAGUAGUUUAGCUCAAUCCUCAAAAAAUGAACACGUAACCGAAAGCAGGCAACACUGCGUAAAAUAUGUGUGGGCAGAUCCAAAUGGAAGUACUUGGGCAAACAACAUAGGGAGAAGGUAGCAUGAGCGUCACGUUGUGGAAGGGCACACCAAUGAUGGUAGGUGAACGUUUUACUGUUUGUGUCAGGUUCCCGUGGCUGACGAGCAGUAAAAAAGGGUUGCUGCCAGAAUGCCAAAUGACGUUUCCAAAGGUCUACAACAAGUUGACUCAGAUUCAGAGGACUGCCAUUGAUAAUAUGAUGAUGGUAAGAUGGAGUAUGCCUAAGACCUUGUGUACCAAGCAAGAGAUGAGAAAUCCAGCAUGCAGGAUGGAAUUGGCUGAGUGAAAUGUCUGCCUGAAAAACCUUACGAAGGAGAGGGCUAUUACAAAAAAUGAGGUUGUUGUAAAGGCGUGCACAUGCUCGAAGCCAAUUCAAUUGCAUGGGUUUUAAGCCACAUUCCUGUAACACACUCCAUGAAGGUGUAGAAUUCCUGACCCCUAGUAUGGUGCGUAAAAAUUGUAAGAGCCACUUUAGAAUGCAAUUUUCCAUCUCUUGACCCUGUUGCAGAUAGGAAGUGGCCCAAAUCUGAGAAGCGUACAUGCCUGCUGGGAUGACAUAAGUUUUGAAUAACCAGAGAUACGCAUGUAAACGAUGAGUGAGACCAUGUUGUUGAAUAAAAGUACGCAUUCUGGCCAUGCUUGCCAGGCACAGCUUGAUAGCCUCCUCUGCAGCUUUGUUCAGAUUAAACUUCUUGUCACAAAACAUGCCUAGAUAUUUGAAAUGCUCAGAGAAAGGCAGUUCCUCAUUGUUGUACAGGAGAGUAGGCAUAUUGUGACCCUGCGAAUUAAAACACACCACAACAGAUUUCUGUGUGUUGACGGUCAGGAAGUUGUCACGGGAGUAUGUGGAAAGGCGAUUCAGCAUUUGCUGUAAAUUGGACGGGGAGUUAGAAGUGAGGCACAGGUCGUCAGCAUAAAGGAUAUGGGAGACAGCAAGGUUGGGAAUUCCUGUACACGCGGCUGGGAUAUCAUGAAAGAUGCUAGGGAUGUCAUUCAGGUAUAAGGAAAAGAGCAAAGGAGAUAAGGGACAACCUUGUUUGACACCAUGUGUUGCUUUGAUACGCGCGUGUUUGUCUCCAUCAACCAAAAUGUAUUCAUCAUCUUGGUACAGAUUCAUAAGAAUAUGAAUGAAAUGUGAAGGCAGUCGACACUUCUGUAAAUGUUGCCAGAGUCGAUGUCUGGGUACAGAGUCAUACGCUUGCUGAACAUCAUUAAAGGCAGCAUACAGACGAGAAGAGUGAUGUGGUUGAUGAAUUUGUGCAGCAUUCCUCAGAUGACAGAGAAAAAAGAGUGGGUGAAGAGUACUGCGCCCAGGAUAAAAACCAAAUUGAGAGUCAGGUAUUGAAUGAGUUUGCUCACACCAGUCUUGCAAAAGGGUACGAAGCACAUUGGUAUAAAGGCGAUAAAAGGUCCCACUUACAGCAAGCAUGCGGUAAUUACUGGCAUGUACAAUGGAACCUUUUUCACACAGAGGGGUGAGUUUAGUAGUCUUCCACUCUGAAGGUAUGGAGGCUUUAAUAAAAAGCAAAUGAAAAAAGGUUGAAAUGAUUGGUGUCAGAACAUUGGUUUGUUGGAAGGCUCUGCCGUCAUCAUGCCUAGCCACUGUGCAAGCAUACUUGAGAAAAGCUGGCAAAAUAGAGUCAAAUCCUGGUGAUGAGCUACCGUUGAGGCGUGAAAUGUGGAGCGCCACAAUCUUAUGUAUUUGACUCUCGUCAGGAAGAGGAAAACUAUCAGAAGAGGGCGCAUCGUCUUGUGACUGGUGGUGCCCACUAAGGGAAGGAACAGUAUGUGCAUGAAGUGAAGAAGAGGAGCUCGUGGAUCGUAGGAAAACUUUAGACAGAUGUUCCUGCCAUGCUGGAAGGGACACGGGUGUGGUAUGUUUGACAGGUUGUUGUCUCAAGAAAGAAUGAACAGAUGGAUCCUUGCGGUAAAGUUUGUCCAUGAAAGCAGCAGCGCGCGCAUGGGUAAAUCUGUGUUUUGCCCGUUGUACUUGCGCCUUGUAUUGGCGAUGAAGUUGUUGGCAAGCAUGCCAGGCUAGCCCAGAUUUAACUGCGAGAAGAAACUCUUUCUUUCUGGUUGCACAUUCCAGAUCAAACCAAAAGGGUCGUCUAGAAGUUGAACGAGGAAAAGUUGACCUGGAUAUAGUCAUGCCCACUCGAGGGUCACACGCUGUCUGUAUAAUCCAAGAUUUGAGCUCCUACUAUGACGAAUCAACAUCUUGUGCCUGAAUAUGAUGUAAAAAAAAGUUACGUUUCUCGUCAUUGUUACGGAGGAUUUGAGCAAAAAGGGUGGCGCGAUCCGGUCGCCAUCUUAAGAGAAAUUCUUGACAUUGUGAGGGUAAAAGAAAAUUACAUAUGGGUGAUUGAAGUCUCUUAUCUAGAUGCCCUGUUGGACUGGAAGAGGGGACAAAAAAAUUGGAUAGAGCGGCGUGGUCAAAACAUACAGGAUGUGAUUUUAGCACCGUGCAAUAGCGAGAACACCCCUCUACUCACCCAAAGUCCUCUGACCCCUCAGCUGCUGCCCCCCUAGGCAAGUCAACCUCUGCCCGCACUGACCGCUGUGCCCCAUCAGAAACACGCAGGGUCCAGCCCCCGGCAAGCACCAGGCACGACACCCCAGAGCGUCGCCCACCACUCAGGCCCAAGCGCCAACCAUCUUCCUCACCUAGCUCCUCAUCCUCUUCCUCAGGUGGUUCCUCUCGCAGGUCCAGCUCACUUGGGCGUCAAGAACGCAGCAGACACACCCCUCACAAGAAACCUAAACCCUCUGCAACUCCGCCUGCACGCGCGCCUGCCACUGGUCAACCACCGCCCGCAGGCUACCCCACUGCACUCACUCCUAGACCUGUGACAGGGUUUGAACAGACCCCACGGCAACAGCCUCAAGGCUCUGCUGGAUGCCCUGACCAGGAAGAACCACUAGACUACGGCCCUGCGCCUGACCUCCAGGUCACAGCAACUGGCUCUCUAGACUUCUCACAAAGCCAGGAGCAGCCACCCGCUGCACCAGAGCCUCAUCCCACACCCCACGCCACCGCACAGACCCACGCAGGCACAACUCCAACUCAGCCUGGCACAACGCCUGUAGGUCAGACGAACACAGGUACAGCUGGUGCCCAACCCAACAUAGCCACUGCUGACACCGGUCCUGCCUCGACUGCUGGUGCUGGCUUGCCCUUCCCUGUCAACACUGCCCCUGCUCUGCCUCCUGCCGCUGGACCUGGCCAACCAGCUGCUGCCCCUGCUGGCACAACAGUGUUUCCUGGCUCUGCUCCACCGCCCUCCAACGCUGGCCACACCCCACCUCAGUCUGUGGUAUACCCUAUUGAAGCCGCAGCUCAUCUCGUUUCCAACCCGCACAGCCCUGUCCCCUUUGUGCCUCACAGCGUCCACAUCACCAUCCAACCUUCAAACCAGGGUCAGGCGGCAUUGGCACAGUUGCGUGAAGUGCACCAGAAUACGUGUAACUACGUGCAGCAGCAGGUUAACAGCUUGAUGGAUGGGCAGUGCAUCGUAAUUGUGUCAACUGAGUCUACCCAGGUCAGUGGGCUUCUCCAUUAGCUUUAGACACCAUUGACCCUGCAGCUAGACGUCUCUCCGGUAUCAUUAGCACAGGUGUGCAAGGUAAAGCGCAACAGGUGCACUCAUCCCCAAUCAAUCUACCGCCACCUGAGCCCAGUGUUUUCCUGCCAUCUCCAGCACAUAGCGCGCAUCACUCUGCCCCCAACUCCUCUCGUGACAACUUCCUGACCGUCAACACACAGAAAUCUGUUGUGGUGUGUUUUAAUUCACAGGGUCACAAUAUGCCUAAUCUCCUGUACAACAAUGAGGAACUCCCUUUCUCUGAGCAUUUCAAAUAUCUUGGCAUGUUAUGUGACAAGAAGUUCAAUCUGAACAAAGCUGCAGAGGAGGCCAUCAAGCCUUGCAUGGCGAGUAUGACCAGAAUACGUACUUUUAUCCAACAACAUGGUCUCACUCACCGUUUACAUGCGUAUCUUUGGUUAUUCAAAACUUAUGUCAUUCCAGCCGGCAUGUAUGCUUCUCCGAUUUGGGCCACUUCCUAUCUGCAACAGGGUCAAGAGAUGAAGAAUUGUAUUCAAAAGUGGCCCUUGCAAUUUUUACGCACCAUACUAGGGGUCAGGAAUUCUACACCUUCAUGGAGUGUGUUACGGGAAUGUGGCUUGGAACCCAUGCAAUUGAAUUGGCUUCGAGCAUGUGCACGCCUUUACAACAUUCUCAUUUUUUGUAACAGUCCUCUCCUUCGUGAGGUUUUUUAGGCGGACAUUUUACUCAGUCAAUUCCAUCCUGCAUGCUGGGUUUCUCACUUCUUGCUUGGCAUACAAGGGCUCAGGCAUACUCCGUCUUAUCAUCAUCACAUCCUCAAUGGCAGUCCUCUGAAUCUGAGUCAACUUGUUAUAGAUCUUCGGAAGCGUCAUUUGGCAUUUUGGAAGCAACCCUUUUUUACAGCUCAUCAGCCUCGGGAACCUGACACGAACAGUAAAACGUUUACCUACCAUCACUGAUGUGCCCUUCCACAACGUGACGCUCAUGCUACCUUCUCCCCAUGUCGUUUGCCCAAGUACUUCCACUUGGAUCUACCCAGACGUAUUAUACACAGUGUUGCCCGCUUUUGGUUACGUGUCCACCUUUUGAGGAUUGAGCAAAACUACUGGAAUGAAAAUAUUGAUCCUAAGUGCAAUCUGUGUGAUGCUCACGAUGAUGCUCAGGAUGAGCAACAUGUGCUAUUUAAAAGUACUCACCCGCAUGUUUGCAACCUCAGAAGGAAAUGCGCAUCUUUGUUUAAUGGACAUGCCCUUUCCCUCUCAACUCCAGAGUCCCAAGCGGCACCGCUCCUGCAUGCAUCUCACCAUGUCCCACCGCAUGCCAUGCGAUCUUUUUUGAUUCAAAACAAUGAUAAACUUUAUCCUUUCCUGCAUGAAAUAUUACUUCUUUACAGGGUUAGAGGAAAAAAAGGCCUUCAGUCAAAAUGCGCGACUGCUAGCCUGUUCAUAAAAAGCAACAAUUUCAUGAAUAAAAUAGACAAGUUUAUUAUUAACUUGAAGAAGAAGAUUACGUACAUCUUGAGCCUUUUGGUUAUUGAAUAGAAAGGCACACUUAGCACGCAAUGCAACGACAUGAGGGUGAGAACAGUGAAAAAUUGUCAUGCCACAUAAGUGCGGCAUCUGAUUCACCAACUUGGUUUGACUAUCCACUAACAUUCCAGAGGCUGAUCCAGAGCAGGUUAACAGUAUUGAAGAAGUGGGUUUAACGUCCAGAGGCUAGGUAACUCUAGCACAAAGGACAGCUGCCAAAUCCUGAGCAGCUUGACUUACUCUGCCUACCUGAGGCUUGCUUAGCUAAUUUCCUGGCUGGAACCUGACAAACACGAUACGUUACCACACUUUGGGCUGCCACACCAGUCCCCUCCCCAAGGGCUGAUCGGCCUUAGCCGGGCAUACUCACGAUGGCGGUCUUCUCACUUGAUGAGUAAUGAAUACAACCAAAGCCAGAAACACGGAAGUCUUCAAUACUGGCUGUGCCAGUCUCUCAGCCACCAUAAAUAUCAGGUUCAACGACCAACCGCCAAUCUGAAGGUCAGCAGCAAUAUAGCAAUGACAAAAAUCUCGCGUGACAAAAUAACAUGAUUUUCAUCUUGAAUACGAUCUACAUCCUGACACAAAUCACAAUGAGAGGAAGAACCCUGAUUCCAAGUAGAUGUUUCAUACUGAAGAGUAUGGACACGAAGCCUAAAGCGGGAAACAUUGCGAAGAACAUCAUUGUGAAGGGCAAGGUAGAAAUAUUUGGGAAUCUUAGAAGGGGCCUGGGUGGCUACAAUGUUGCGGAUAGGCAGCGCACACCAAUGAUGAUAAGUACGGUGUUUGCUAUUCCGUUGCCUGGGAGUGGGGCCGGAGAACUGAGUCCAAUAUUGGACCUGCCUGGAUCUGAGGUCUACCACAAAUUGUCGAAGGUGAAUUGGUUCACAAUUCAUUAUGUUGAUCUUAAAUUGACUAGCAUGAUGCAAUCCAUCCAUGGCAUUGAUUAUGUGUGAAGACCAGCAGUCACAAGAGGAAGAAAAUAAACAGAUAUCCGCCUGCAAGACCUUUCUGACCGUGAUGAGUGAAAGAAAAGAAAAGAAAAGAAAAACUGCGUAGGCAGAGAAACUCCCCCUACAUCAAUUAAGGAAAAGGAGACACAUUGGCUCCGAAGAGCCGUGAGUCUCCCCCACCACAAGGAAAGAAGGAAAAACAAGUGGGGAUCAGGUGGGUUUCUAGAGGCACAAGGCCCUAGAACCUGGCUGUGGGAAGUAACAUUGUUUGCAAUGGCACGUCUGGUGGUAACAAGUUUGUGAGCGUAAAUAGCGGAAUGGGCAUUCAGGCUACAAGCAAGUUUAGUGGCACGUUCGUGGCUCAGACCAAGCUUUUUGAAUUGAUUGAGGGUUUGCUUGAUGUAACUUGUUCCGCCAACGCCCAGGAGAAUGGGGUGAAUAGUGACACUUUUAGCAUCAAUGAGUUUGCUCAAAUGUGCAUGUUGUUGCUUAUCUUAGCCGCCGCCAAUUUAUGCUCGGGUCUCGUAUCCUCACAGUACUUUAUUUCAAUCAGGUGCACAUGCCUUUGGUUGGGAGCUAGAUGGUGAGGCUGUCUCACUCGGCUGGCCGUGCUGGUCCUCUGCAUGUUCCUGUGCCUGUUACGCAACAUAUAGCGUGAGGGAGAGUCAGAGGAUGAAGAAGGAGAAGAAGAAUUGGGUUUGGCAUUAUAAGGGGUGAUUAAGAUAGCAUCAGGACGGCUGGUAGUGAGUCUAGAUCUCUCCAAAAUGUUUCGAGGAAAUCAGUAAUCAGGUAUAGUUCUGUUUGAAGCAUGAGCAGGAAGUUGAAGAUAAUGCUGUGCUAGCCGUUCAUGUUUUCCUACAUCUGUAUAAAUCAAGCCUGCUCCACGAGGGCUUUUGCUAAGAGCUUUUAUGAUCAUUCUGCCAUUAUGACGUUCAGUUUUCAUGUUAGAGAUGAUAUGAUUUUGGCAACCAGAGAGCAUGUGGAGAGCGCUAUCUAGUUGUUGACAGCCUGGGAAAGGGCAAAGAGGGUCAGUGGAUCGUUUAAAGCGCACGGCAUGUUUUUGAUUAUAGAGGGUGCCAGUACGAUAUUGAAAAAUGGUGCGCUUUACAGAAAAAAAAAAAGAAAAGAAAAGGCUACGCAGUCUUGAGGCCGCGUGCAUUAAGGGAAGAAACCCUAACAAAAGUUAGAGGCCUCACCAAGAGGCCCUACAGGAAAGGAUAUUCCAGGCAUGGUCCUGAAGGCAUUACUGAUCUUCUUUUCAACUUGGGGUAGCAAACUUUGAUAGUAAGGGUAGUAACCUAUUUUGGUAUUGGCAUAUCCAAGCUUGUGUUUAGAGUGCAUGUGUAGCUGGAGUGCAGCGUGGAGGUUGGAAAGGUAUGUGAGUUUUGAAGUGUGUACAGGGGCUAUGGAAGUGCUCGCGGCAUGUUCCCUUGUUUCCUCCUUGGCUAACCAAAAAAUUCGUGAGAAAGGGUUUCCGGCAGGGCCUGCACAGGGGAUUUCAGUAUCCGCCACACUGUUGUUUGCUUUGUCAGCCUGAUACUUUGCUAUAGCAUCUGCACAUUCAUUCCCGGAAAUGCCUGCAUGGGCUUUUACUUUGCGAACAUAAAUUUUGACAUGAGAGUUCUUAAUAAGAGUUAAUAUAAUUCUGAGGAUAUCUCCUUGGAUGUGCUCCCUGUGCUUCUCAGGAUACAAAAUUUGUUUGCCUAUUUGACAAGAAGAAAUGAGGCUGUCUGUUCCAAUGUGUGCAUGGCAGUGGGUGAUGGCAGCAGUAACACCUGCUAAUUCUGCUCGGGGUACGUUGUUUGUGAUUCCAGCACCAUUUGGCUCUACAAGGAUUUUGCUGUCAGACAGGGGAUGGUACACGCCUACCCCUAUUCCUUGCUUUCCAUUUCGGGAAUGACAGCUGCCAUCAGUGUACGCCCAUGUCCUCCAGUCUGGGACUUUGAGGGCAAGGUUGGGGUUCAGCAUACAAGCCGCCCUGUUCAGCAUACAAGCCGCCCUGAUGCUCUAUUUGUGCGGCACAUCCCAGGCAGGCAAGCCCAACUUGAUCCUACCAAGAUUCCACCGCAAGAUAGAGACAUUGACCUUGUUGAACUUAAAUUCUGCUCUGACACUAAUCCUGCCAGCGCCUUGGAGCGUGCACAAACUCAACAUUCCCACACCAUUAGCAGACUUAAAACACGCAGCUUAAGAAACGCAAACAGGAAUAAUAAAGUAACUUUGCACACCAUCUUAAUUGGUGUUGGUCAGGGAAGUUCAGGGGGGUCUGAGAAAUUUCGGGUCCACCCGAAGGCCUGUUUAAAAAUUUUCGGGUCUACCCGACCUGCCUUUCAAGACCUUCGGGUUUAGGUGCUAAAAAAAAAAACCGGCCGGGGGCUGACGCCCCCGGCCGGGUGAGUGCGAUGUGGAGUACUAAUUUAUUUGAGCCUACCUUCUUUCACCAUUACCUUCCCUUUACCGCCAGCGCCGUACCCCUGAGCAUGGGCGACCCCGGGAAUUUCCGGUAUUCUCAUUCGGACUUGCGUCGACCUCUCAGGAGGUCGGGGGUUCGAGCCGCUUAGAUGCCCUCGAAGGCAUAAACAGCGGAAACACUUCCUUCCUUCCUUCCUUCCAUUACCUUUCAAAGAAGAUCUUGUAUACCCAUACAAAUUAUUUCCAAAUUUCUUCAUCCCAAAAUUCCUUCUUGUUUACCCAUACAACUUAUUUCCAAAUUUCUUCAUCCCAAAAUUUCCUCCUUUUCAUAUACCCACCAUUUUCUUUUAACACAGGAGGGGAAUUUUGAUUUCAAUCCAUGGGAAUUUUUUUGGACUGCUGCAUGGCAGCUGCAUGUCAUAGGAGGGGGCUGCAGUUUGCUGCAUCACAUGUGUUACAAUUGCCAAAAAAUGGAGGGUGUAAUGAAUGCAAAAAAAAAAACAAAGGUGUCCACAUUUACAGAUCGUCCAACUCGGUUGCUGCCGCAUUCACACCCAAGUCCAUCAUGCUCCCCUCCUCAUUCAGAUUGCUGAGGCCAAAGCAAUCCGUUCCAUCAUCAACUUCUCCAUCCUCCUCCUCCCCUUCACUCAUCCAUGCUCCCACAUCAUCUUCUUCCUCAAUCUCAUCUUCCUUGGACAUAUCUAGAUCUGGCUCUACACCUUCAUCUACUCCAUCAGCCAGCAAGCCCAAUUCAAUAUCAUCAAUUCUCUUAAACAGAUCCCGCAAUUUCAUAUCCUCCCUUGAGCCAACAGGGACGUAAUUAUGUAUUCUGGCAGCAGCUGCAAAAUCAAAUGAUUGCAAAGGUUGCCCCAGGGUGAGCAACUUGAUGCGCAACAAAGAAUCAAGCGUCAUGAUUUUCAGACGAUUAGUCAACCUGUUUUUCAAGAUGCGGUGCAAACUGAAGCCACGCUCAACAACAGCAGUUUGCACAGGUGUUAAGAACAUUAUGUUAGCAAAAAUAAUCAUUUUUGAAUACACUACUGCAUCAGGGCUAUUCCGCAACAUGCCCCACACUGCCACCGGAUCAACAAUUUUAUAUGUAUUCACCAAUGUAUGCAUUGCUUGCUUCAUGACCAUAAAUUCAUGUGCAAUGCUAGCCCCAUUAAAAUCAAACAAUUUCUGUGAACCCCUCUCUUUGCCACAGAAGUGCGCGAGCAAGACUUUAAAGCUCUCCCAGCCAAACUUCUCUAGGCUCUCAACAGGCAUAUUCAAGUAAAAACUGGGAAUAAAAAUAUGAAAGUGCCCCAGCAAAGCGCAGCUCUCAAACCGCUCUUUAAACUUUUGUACAAUAAACUUGGCUAAAUUCCUCAUCUCCCUCUGCAAAACAAGCAAACUGCACUUCCUCAUUUUAAAUUUGAAUUGAGGGCUUGGAAUCCACCAGCCAUCCUUUUUCACUCCCGCACAAAAGGCUUUAAAACGGACCAAAUGUACACUUUUUAAAUCCUCUGCAGAAACAAACAUUUGUUCAAGCUGCUGCACUGUUCUGUUUACAUGAUGUACAACUUCAUGAGGCAGAAUACUGUCUGACUGAAGCUCUUUGCACAGAAUAACAACAGGUUGCAACAUAUCUAAGACCAAGAACAAGGUACUCACUGCCUUUAAGCUCAGCAACCUCUUUUUCACCCUUACAGCGACAGGCCAAGAGCGGGGAUUAUUUGUUGCAGACUGAUCAUUAUACUGACUCAGGAAUGCAAGCAGAACUGGCAGGUUGGAACACAAGACAUCCAAGCACUCUGCUCGGCUGAGCCAGCGCGUAGGCACAUACAACGGAAACUUCAAGCGUUGCACACCUCUUGCCUUGGCAAAAUCUUCCCAUUCUUGCUGACGCUUAUGGCUUUUACUAAAUAAAUUGUGCACAGCCUUCAACAAGCUGUCCACAAGCUGCAGACAUUCAUUUUCUUUCCCGGCAUCAUUCAUGACUAGCGCAGUCCUGUGUGCUGUACAGUGAACACCAACUAUAUACGGGCACAGCUUUUCCCUCAACUGCUGCUGCACACCAGUGUGCAGCCCCAUGUAAUUAGAUGCACCAUCCGUACACAUUGAAAUAAGCUUUUGCUUAUCUAUACCCAAGGCCUCAAGAAUGCCAAGCAAAACGCUGUAAUGGUGACUUGCAUCGUCUGCUUUUGCGCUGACGCAGCACAGAAAUACAGUGACAAAAGCAAACGUGCUAGCAUCCAGAAACCUGAUAUACACCAUGAUGUGGUUCUGCGUGCUUAUAUCAGUCCCUCCAUCACAAAGCAAAGCAUAAAAAGGACUUACAUUAAUUCUUGCAAUUGUGGCGCUUAAUAAGACUUCGCUACAAGCAUACAUAGAAGACCAGAAGUACCUACGAUGGUUGUAUUUGUGCAAAAUUUUACUUGUGCAUGCCAGGGAAAGGAGCUGCAAAAGAGAUGCAAACUUCUGCCCAGGAACACCCUCUUUAAUGAGCCACAAGGCAGCCAUGAGCAUCGUAGGAAGCACACUGAGCACGGUAGACUGUUGCUUGUCAUGCAUUUUUUGCAAGCCACCACCGAUGCUGCCUACCCCACCAGCACUUGCAAUUGCGGUAUUCUUGGCUUGUAUGUGUCCAGCGGAGGACUCAUGGUCUCUCAGGACACCCGCAUCUCCAAUCACAGCACCAUGGCCACCAUCAACUUUCCCAGCAAACUUGGAUGCAGACUUGCUAUGCUCACGACAUAUGGUGCACACGCCUUUUGGAUGGCCAUACUCAGACUUUUUGCCCGUAUAUUGUAGCCAGGGAUAUGACUUCUGCCACUCUUUCUCCUUGUUGUCCCUGGCUUUCCUGUCCUUCUCCGCCUUAUCCUUCAGAACUUGCUCUUCUUGCUUCCUUUUCUUCUCCCUCUGCUCCUCUUUCCACUACUCUUUGGACUCUUCUGCAGGAGAAAGGGAGGCCCCCAGUGGUCAGUGCAAGUUGCAUGCAAUUUCAAGCUGCUGCAGCACCAACUUUGGCUGGGAAUUGUGCAGUUCAGCAACUGGUCCUCACCAGUCUCAGUGACCUCGCAGCGGACAAGCCCCAGAGUGAGGGGAAUGAUGACGAGGGAGACGAGCUUGGUGAGCGUGGAGCGCUGCCGCUUGCUGCCGGUCUGCUUGCUGCCCGAUGCUGAGGCUCCAGCGGGAGCGGGAGCAGGCGGGAGGUCCACGUACGGCUCAAGCCUGAGGGGGACAGGGUUGGGGCCAGCCCCCUCGGGCCACGAACGCUCACCAGACGCCCCUCUGAGUGCCAGCCUCGCUUCCUCCCAGGUGUGGUCAGAGUUCAGCAAAUCCUGCAAUGUCUCCCUGAACUCAGGGUCUGGGUGCUGCUCCAUCCACUCAUUGGACCAGGCCUCAGGGGGAGUGUUGGCUGGCUGAGAGGGGGGCUGAGGAGGAGGGGUGGGCUGUGGGGCCUGGGAUGCCCCUGCCUGCAGGGGAGCCCCUGCAUGGGACGGAUUUGUGGCCUUCAGAGCAUGGCACUCUGACCCAUGCAUGCUGUUGAUGCAUGCUGACCCAAAUGAGGAUUGAUGCCUGCCAGCAACUCAUGACUUACAAAGGGAAGCAAUUGUAGUCUGUGACGUGGGCGGGGGAGGAGGCUCUGGAAGGCUGGGCAUGGGGCCUCUGCCCCGCCCUCCCCGUCUCCCUCCUCUCCUAGCCAUGGCUGCUGAUGACCCUGGCUGAUUCUGCCUACGUUGAAAAAUGCACCCAAAGUACAAAUUAUAAUGUUCGGGAAAGAAAGAAAGAAAAGAAAAAGAAAAAGAAAAGAAAAACUGCGUAGACGGAGAAACUCCCCCUACAUCAGUUAAGGAAAAGGAGGCACAUUGGCUCCGAAUAAUGUUCGGGUCCUACCCAAACGGGACCUGGCAUUUUCAAGGAAAUUUUGGGUUUGACCCGAGCGGAUUUGGCCUGCGCCUCGGGCGCAGGCCAAAUCCUUCAAUUAUUUUCGGGUAACCCGAGGGUUUGAACUUCUUUGGUGUUGGUGGCACAAUUUACAACAACUUCACUAUUGCACCUCUUAUAAAUCUGGGCCUGACCAAACAAAAAGCUGAAUCACUAGCUUCCCAACUCAGAGACCAUGCCAUCCAAAGAUUAUCCACCAUCAUUAACACAAGACAUGCACUUUGUUUUCAGGGAGCAUCUGGGAGGGGAGGGUUUGCUGGGCGCGCGGCUGUGGCUGAGGAUGGAAGAAGGAGUGUCCGAGCGCUCAGGGGCAUGGCGGCCAAUCCCCCGGAUCCCCAUUAGUUCUGUUUCUUGCUCUCUCCUAGGCUAGGUUCGUCUAGUUUAGGUGGAGGGACUCUUGGUGAGGCCUCUAGCUUUUGCUAGGGGUUCUUCCCUUAAUGCACGCGGCCUCGGGACUGCGUAGACUUUUCUUUUCUUUUCUUUUCUUUUCUUUUGGGGUUGGAUUGGUGAGGCAUAGAGACUACUUCAAGAUUGUCUGUGGAUGCAUUGUUAAAAGCUGUGGAAAUUUGCUGCUUGUCAGAAGGCAGGCAUCACAGCAUGCAUGGCUUUGAGAAUGUCAUGGCUACUGACACUGCGCAGUUUCCAAUUGGCUCUAGGCAUAUACUUACUGAUGUCACUGGCAAGGUUUUGCAGCCAAGCUGGGUUAUGGCUGUUAAGAUGGAUCCUUGCAGCAGGGUUCCAAAACGCAAUAAUUUGUAUAUCCAAGCUGUGCUGAGGAAGAGGUAUUUCUUGAUUCGGGCAUGAUUGAGGGGCUUUGUAAACAAGGUUGGUCUUCAUCUACUUAUUCGGAAAGCGCGUGUUCCAGAUGCUUGGAAGGAAGCUAAACUCACCCCAAUCCACAAGAAAGGCCCCGUUGUUUCUCCAACUAAUUAUAAGAUGAUACCUGUGAGCGCUCCUAUCUACCGGUUGUACACCAAUGUCCUGAGAUCCAUUAUUCAAGAUUGGUGUAUCCACCACAGGAAAAUUCCUGAUACACAAUAUGGAUUUUAUCCAGGAAGAAGUACCCUUCAACCAAUCUUCAUCCUACAACACCUGAAAAACGCAGCCCAAAAAGCUCGGAGUGAUACCUCCAGAUUGUUUACAGCAUUCAUUGAUUUUCAGCAAGCGUACGACUCUGUUCCUUGGGAAAAGCUGCGGAAACAUUUGUAUCAUUGUCGUCUACCUCAACAACUCAUUGCUAUUCUCCAGGAUCUGUAUCACAUGGAUGUAUAUACUCUGCUUGAUGGUGACAAAAUGGCUAGUGUUCAGCCAGUGUGUGGGGUUAAACAAGGAUGUCCUCUAUCCCCUCUUCUUUUCGCAAUUUAUCUCAACGAUAUUGAUACUGUUGCAGAGGGUGUACAAGGUGCUCUGACAGCCAUCCCAAAUUUAACGGUGACCCAUUUACUUUUUGCUGAUGAUCUGGCUUUUACAGCAAACAGGCAACCAAGUUUACAAAAGCUUCUAAACAACCUGAAAGACUACGCCAUGAGGAAAUCUUUGGUUGUUAAUACGUAGAAAUCCCAAGUGAUGUGUGUAAAUUCCAGGUCUGACAAUCUGCCGACUUUUUUCUAUGAUGGGUCACCCUUAACUUACACUGACCAUUUCAAAUAUCUAGGGAUGGUGAUUGAUAAGCAAUUUCAUCUUUCAACAGCAGCAGACGCAGCCUUACAGCCUCUGGUGAAUGAGACUUUCAAAAUACAGCGCUUUGCUCAGGAGCACGGUCUAACCAACCGACUUCAUGCUCUCAUUUGGUUACUUAAGACUUAUUCCAUUCCUGCUGGUAUGUAUGCAAGUCAGAUUUGGGCAACCCCCUUCCUUAAGCAAGGUAAAGAAAUGGACAACCCAUUACAAAAAUGGAUUAUUGCAACACUUAAAAGGUGGCUGGGUGUCAGAGAUACAACUCCUUCUUGGUCUGUGCUGCGAGAGUGUGGGCUUGAACCGCUACAACUCAAUUGGUUCCGAGCAGCUAUUCGUCUGUACAACUCGUUUACACAAUGCAAUAGCAUCACGGUCAGAAAGGUCUUACAGGCGGAUAUCUGCUUAUCUUCUUCCUCUUGUGACUGCUGGUCUUCACACACAAUUAAUGCCAUGGAUGGAUUGCAUCAUGCUAGUCAAUUCAAGCUCAGCAUAAUGAAUUGUGAACCAAUCCACCUUCGACAAUUUGUGGUUGACCUCAGAUCCAGACAGGUUCAUUAUUGGGCUCAAUUCUCCGGCCCCACUCCCAGACAACGGAAUAGCAAACACCGUACUUAUCAUCAUUGGUGUGCGCUGCCUAUCCGCAACAUUGUAGCCACCCAGGCCCCUUAUCAAACUCCCAAAUAUUUCUACAUUGCCCUUCCCAAUGAUGUUCUUCGAAAUGUUGCCCGCUUUAGGCUUUGGGUCCAUACUCUUCGGUAUGAAACAUCUACUUGGAAUCAGGGUUCUUCUUCUCAUUGUGAUUUUUGUCAGGAUGUAAAUUGUAUCCAGGAUGAAAAACAUGUUAUUUUUCACUGUACUCACCCCCAUGUCGUUGCACUGCGUGCUAAGUAUGCCUUUCUAUUCAAUAACCAGGAGGCUCAAGAUGUUCGUAAUUUUAUUCUUCAAGAUAAUAAUAAACUUGUCUAUUUUAUCCAUGAAAUUGUUACUUUUUAUGAACAGGCUAGCAGUCGUGCGUUUUGACUGAAGGCCUUUUUCUUUCCUGUAACCCUGUAACCCUGUAAACAAGGUUGGUCUUCGGGAUGGUGCCAAUUUCAUAGCAUAUGUGGGGAAAUGCAGAAAUGAGUUUAAAGCAGGGGUUCAUUAUCAUUUGUUUUCCCCAAACAGGAAGGAACAUGAAGGUAGCAGUGGCCUCUGUGUUGUGAAUGGCAGAAUAAAUGGCAUGUCGCAAGGUUUGUGUCAUAGUACCCUCAUUAUAGAUGGGAUGGCAAGCAGAGAAGCCUGAAAACCUGGAUGAAAGAGAAUUAUGGAGGGCACCAAAGACAGCGUGUCGAGAGUCAGCACUCCAGUAGUGUUGGUAAUGUGGGUCGUGGUCUAAAGGGGAGGCCAUCUUUUCUUGAGUUACUAAGGCCCAUUUUUGGAGUGCUGAAUAGAUGUCUGCAGGUAGGGCCCGUGAGAAGGAGUCUUUGAUCUUUUUGCUAGAGUAUUUGUUUUCAAGUAGUGUUUUGCGGGAGAGAAGGCCUUGCAGCUCAGAUGCAAAGCUGGCAGGAGCUGGCUUCAUUUUGUCGUGCAUGCCAUGAAGCUUGGCUCUAUAAAAUGCCCUGUAGAGGAUAAAGGAACGGUUAGGGGAUAUCAUCCCAACGCAUUUACCUUGUGUGUUAUAAAUGCAAGCCAUGUGCGUCCUGUAGACCUCCGGGAGAAUUAGUGUAGGAGAACGGACGGAGGGAUUGGGUGUGUGGACCAGUGUCAGGUGGCGCUUCAGCAGGAGCUUGCUCAUCUUUGUAUUUCACAAGGCCAAUUUCAUGCAGCCAAAAUUCGCAGGAACCAGUUGACUUUAUGUCUGCUUGAGGAUUAGUGGGGUUUAGAUCAAAGAUGACUUUGUUGCGCAGUUCAGUGUCUAAUUUUUGCUUCCAUACAUUUGAACUGUCAAGUUUCUCAAAGCCUUGUCUUUCUAGAUUAGAUAGGUCAGAAUCUGCGGUGGGUAAGGAGAGGUCAGGUUCACUUUCCCUGGCUUGAAAUUCAAGGAGACGAGUGUGGAAUUCAGGCCAAAGGUCUUUGGUCUCUUCUGGUUCCCAGGUGGGCUUCCAGGUGACCCUCCAUAGUUCAUGUUUGGACUGUUGUUCCCUGUCAGCUUUUUCCCUGUCAGCCGCGGGAACCUGAGACGAACAGUAAAACGUUCACUUACCAUCAUUGGUGUGCCCUUCCACAACGUGACGCUCAUGCUACCUUCUCUCCGUGUCGUCUACCCAAGUACUUCCAUUUGGAUCUACCCACACAUAUUUUACGCAGUGUUGCCCGCUUUCGGUUACGUGUUCAUCUCUUGAGGAUUGAGCUAAACUACUGGAAUGAAGAGAUUGAUCCUAAGUGCGAUCUGUGUGAUGCUCACGAUGACGCUCAGGAUGAACAACAUGUGCUAUUUUAGUGCACUCAUCCUCACGUUUGCAACCUUAGAAGGAAAUAUGCAUCUUUGUUCAAUGGGCAUGCCCUUUCCCUCUCAACUCCAGUGUCCCAAGCGGCACCGUUCCUGCAUGCAUCUCACCAUGUCCCACCACAUGCCAUGCGUUCUUUUUUGAAUCAAAACAAUAAUAAACUUUAUCCUUUCCUGCAUGAACUCCUACUUUUUUAUGAACAGGCUAGCAGUCAGUCGGUUUGACUGGAGGCCUUUUUCCUCUGUAACUGUAAAUGUAACUGUAACUGUCAGCUUUUUGAUCGUGAUUCAAUUCUGUAACAGGCGGGGCAGGCCCACUGGUGAGCAUCAUCAAUUUCUUGUCUUUGGUCAUCAGUAUAACAACCAAGAUCUUUCAUUUCCAAUGAUAUGUACGAUGGCAAGUAUCAAAGAAAAAAAGAAAAGCCUACGCAGUCCCGAGGCCGCGUGCAUUAAGGGAAGGACCCCUAACAAAAGUCAGAGGCCUCACCAAGAGGCCCUCCACCUAAACUAGACAAAACUAGGAGAGAGCCAGAAGCAGAACUAAUGGGGAUCCGGAGGAUUGGCCGCCAUGCCCCUAAGCGCUCGGACUCUCCUUCUUCCAUCCUCAGCCGUUGCCGCACGCCCAGCAAACCCUCCCCUGCCAGAUACUCCCUGAAAACAAAGUGCAUGUCUAGUGUUAAUGAUGGUGGAUAGUCUUUGGAUGGCAUGGUCCCUGAGUUGGGAAGCUAGCAAUUCAGAUUUUUGUUUGGUCAGGCCCAGAUUUAUUAGAGGUGUAAUUGUAUAUUUGUUAUAAAUCGUGACACCAACACCAAUUAGAAUGAUGUGCAGUGUCACUUUAUUAUUCCUGUUUGGGUUUCUUAAGCUGCGUGUUUUAAGUCUGGUAAUGAUGUGCAAAUGUUGAGAUUGUGCACGCUCCAAGGUGCUGACAGGAUUAGUGUCGGAGCAGAAUUUAAGUUCAACAAGGUGAAUGCCUCUAUCUUGUGGUGGGAUCUUUGUAGGAUCAAGGUGGGCUUUUCUGCCUGGGAUGUGUCGCACAAAUAGAGCAUCAGGGCGGCUUGUAUGCUAUACAGGUGAGGCAGCGCCAUUUGUGAAAACCCAGUCUGGAAUAGCGCGAGAGGUGUCUUCAGGGACUUGUAUGCCUUGAUCCAGAAGUCUGUCAUGGUUGCAGCCAUCCAUGCUAAUGAGGGAUGAGCCAAAACGGCCUUUGCCGAGGGCUUUUAUAAUAAGAGUAAGGGCUGCGUGGUGUCUGUUUGUGUGCAUCCCACUCAUUGUUGGGUUGGUACACCUGAGCAGAGCAUGAUAAAUGUUAUCGGUACUUGCACAGAGAGGGCAGCUAUCAGAAUUGGAAAAGUUAAAGCGAGAGGCAUGGCCCUGCGUGUACAGUGUAUCCGUUCGAUAUUUCAUGAGGUUUGUUUGUUGUUUAAGGGUAAUCUUUGGAUUUUUCCAGAAGGAGUUGCUGAUUUCCUUGUUUGCAAGCUGAGGGAUUGGGUUGUGAGCUUCAUUGUUUGUGUUGUUGGUGGAUGGUGUGGCAUCGUUAAGCUUCUGCCAUCUCUGGUAGUGGUAGCCAGAGGUGUCAGCGCAGCCUAGUCUGUGUUUUUUGUGCAUGUGUGUUUUAAGUUUGUUGCUUAUGUUGGUGAGAUAUUGUAUCGGAGAGGUGUGGGAGCGGCGCCUGUCAUUAUUUUGUGUGAAAGGCUUUAGUGAAAGCCAAUAGAAGUUGUGGAAAGGGACCCUGGCAUCAGGAAGUGUGAUGUCUACUGUGUCAGAUAGGGCUGCGGUGCAGGCGCAAGCGUCAGCCCCCUCGUUUCCUAUGAUGCCCAAGUGGGCUUUGACUUUAUAAAAAUGGAUAGGGUGAGGGGAGUGCUCUAUUAUGGUGAAUAUUGCAUGUAUCAACUCUGCAUGUAGGUGAUAUCUCAUGCGCAUGGGAUGAAGGGUUUGAUUUGAAAUUUGAAAAAUGCAGGAUGCACUAUCAGUGGCAAUUUUGGUUUGCUCGUGUUGGAGCGCCACCAGGAUACCCACGAGUUCUGCUCUUGUGAUAGUAUUGGUAGGCCCAUGGCCGUUGGGUUUUAUGUGCAGUUUUAAGUGUUGCGGGGGUUGCGUAGUGUCUAAACCUGGUUUGUAAACACCUGAACCUGAGAGUGGAGGGGAAUUGUCAUCUUUUUGUUUGAUUAGACUGCCAUCAGUGUAGGUCAUUUCCCUCCAAUCCCUGAUUUUGGGUGUGAAUGACUUUCUGUACUUGGCAGGGGUGAAUGCUGCCCUUUCUUGAGGGCACUUGUGCGAGCAGUUGUGGGUGUCAGGGGGGAGUGAUUGGAAUUUCUGCUUCCAAGUGUUUGAAGCAAGGUGUUGGUGUGUACGCAGUUGUGUAGUUGGAUUUGGAGUAUCGAGGGGUAGCCAACUAGCUUCUGCUGCAGCUUGUCCUACAUCUUGCUGGAGAGACUUGAACCAGUCUUUGUUUGCACUGUCUAGCAUAACUCUGGCAUUACGGUUCCACACGACAAUGAGUUGUACAGGAUAGGAAGGUUGGGUAGGGCUGUGUAUGGUAUCAAACCAGUGUUGUGGUGCUUGGAAGUGGAUUUUUUUUGCAGGAAAUUUGGCAAGUACUUUUGCAACGUCUGGGUAUUGUCUGAGCCAGCUCAUAUACGAAUUGCAGCUAAGCCUCUCCAGUGAGGGAGGAGCAUGAAGGUGGCAACUGGAUCUGUGCUUUAAAGGGAGGAAUGCACUGCAUGGCGCAUGUUACUUCAACAUCAUGGGGUGGAUGGCAAAAGGAGAAGCCGGUGAAGCGCACUGAGAGAGCGUCUGUGUGGGCUCCAAAGACUUGGUCUCGAUCAUUUGUACUGAAAUAGGUGUUGUAGGUAUUUUCAAAAUCAAGGGGGCUGGAAUACCUCUCUACUGAGACCAUGCAAAAAGUAAAAGUAAAAGUCUACGCUGGAAACUAACCAGCGUGCAUUAAGGAAAGUACCCAACAAUCAGCGAUGUAGCUUGAAAGAGGGCCCCACCAGUUGUUCAGACCAAGAGAAAGACCACAACACACAUGUCUCCAGCAAGUUCACCCUCCACCCAAGGCAAACAAGACACUCAUGUCAGGGGCCUUGUCCAGCAAACUCAGAGGUUCACCCCAUAGCCUCAGAGAAAGCAGUCCAACAUCUCAGCAGGGCCCCCCCAGCUAGGGGCCGAGCCUUAAAGAAGGCUGGAGGUGAGGCACGCAAUCAUGCAGGCCCAAACUGAGACACUCCACCUCUAUCCGCUGUCCUCCGUGUGAACUUCCGGGACCCUUCUGCGCCGUGAACCUUCCUCCUGGCGCCCGUGCACGCGCCCACGCCACGAGCCAGCUCCAACGCUGCUGCUAGGUCCACCUGCCAGCGUGGGGGUUUGCCGGUGCAUCGCGCACGCAGAGCGUGGGAUGCAGAGCGUUGCCUGGGGAGGCGACCACGAGGAGGUACCCCACGCUGGAUUUCCGUGCCCCCCCCAUGAGACCAUGCACCAUUUUUGCAGGGCAGGUAUCACAAAUUUACAUAUCAUGGAACGAAGGCUCGUUGUCAGAUUCAUGGCCAUAAUGGUAAUUACAGAUUUGGCAGCAGGCACAUUCAACGUCAGUGCGGGCAGCAGGUAAUUUGGUGUCAAUCAGGAAGCCAGCAUCUAUAAAGAAGGGCAAGGCCCAUUUUUCAAUUAUCAUAGUGAUAUUGUACUUGAUUACGAAUAAUAGAGUUUCCCUCAUGGUCUGUCUCCUUUUCUGUGCCAAUUUUCCACCCAUCUAUAUGUGUUAUGCUAAGAUCACUGUGGUAGACUUCAUUGAAAGCAUGGUGAAUCCCUUUUUUAGACGCAAGUUUCUGGACUGUUGAUCUCCUAUAGUUCCAGACCCGCGAGGUUCGGGUAAGUGGAUUGAGAGAUUGAAUGGCAGAGCACGUAAAUUCUGCUUCUCUGUGAUGCAAGAUUCCCCUGUUAUUCUUGUGGUUCUUAGCUUGAGUGGCUAGGCUGGUUGUAUUGUGUGUGUUAGCUGAGAAGCUAGGAGUAUUGCCUGUUUGAUGGCUGUCUGGUUUGUUAAGGGAGCUGGUCUGAGAAAAGGGCCAGUUUGCAGCGUUUGUGUUGGCAUUUGCCCUUGUAUUGUCUUGGCUUCGAGGUGUAGAUGAGGGGAUAUUUCUUAGUGUUGAGCGUGUGCGUUUGCUGGGAGGCCCCCCUGCAGGUGAGUCUUGCACAGUGGGCGUCAUGGCAGCAGAAGCAGCAGUGGAUUCAUGGGUAGGUGUAUGGAUAAUUUGGGGGGCAAUGCUCAGUCUAUAAUUGGAGCGGGUUCUUUUGCUUACUGGUUCAUCUGUGGUAUUUGUUGUUGCUUGUGUGUUGGGACAAUUUCCUUGUGUGGGAUGGCCGAUUGUGCGUCUGAGGCGACGCCCAGUCAGUGCAUGUCUGUAGUGAUCUGUGGAGCGAGGUUGUGGUGGUGGCACUACCUGUGUGGAGGGUAUGUUCUGGUUUGGGAGCCUGCUCCAGGAAGAAUUUGUGUGGGUUGGGUUUGUUCCCUAGUGAGGUGUGUAUUAACAAGGCCGCCUAAGUGUGUAUUGUUGAUGCGGCGAUAAUGCGCAAGUGUGUUUAUUUCUGUGUUUUUAGAAGCAAUGACCUUUUGGAUAGUGGAUGUACACAAAUCUUGUUCCGGGGCCAUGUUGACCAGAGCUGCAAGUCUGUUGAGUGCUAUUAUACACUUUGCGUUAAACGUAGAGUAUUUGGCCUGGAGCUGAGCAACUGUUAUGAUACGGGUAUUGCAUGGGCUGGUGAGUUCGUGGAUUCCAUUGAUUCCAAGGCUCAUGAGGGGUUGCAUUAUGCAGGUCAUCAUGACCUCAUGAUGGGGGAGGUGAGGUUGUGAGGGGGAGGUUUAUGCAGGGAGAGUGCUUUGUAAAUAGGGAGAAGAUCAUCUUUGAAGACAUCAUUUUUCAUGAGGUGGAGUUUACUCGUAUGGAUGCUAAUCAGCUGGCGCACGCACAUGCAGUAAUUGAGCUGUCGUUUAAUGUGCAGAUUAGUCCCUUCUCGUUUGAUAAGAAAUGUAGUGGAUAGUGCUUUAAUGUUUGACAUUUGUUUAGUAAGGAGGUUAAGACUGAUAGUACGGUGUCUGAUAGAGGGGUCUUCUAGGCUGGAAGUGAGAGCAAAGGCAAGACCGUGAUGCUAUUGCGUUGUGUAAACGAGUUAUACAGGCGAAUAGCUGCUCGGAACCAAUUAAACUGCAACGGUUCAAGCCCACACUCUCGGAGCACAGACCAAGAAGGAGUUGUAUCUCUGACACCCAGCCAUCUUUUAAGUAUCGCAAUAAUCCAUUUUUGUAAUGGGUUGUCCAUUUCUUUACCUUGCUCAAGGAAGGGGGUUGCCCAAAUCUGACUUGCAUACAUACCAGCAGGAAUGGAAUACGUCUUAAGUAACCAAAUGAGAGCAUGAAGUCGGUUGAUUAGACCGAGCUCCUGAGCAAAGCGUUGUAAUUUGAAAGUCCCAUUCACAAGAGGCUGUAAGGCUGCAUCUGCUGCUACAGAAAGAUGAAAUUGCUUAUCAAUCACCAUCCCGAGAUAUUUGAAAUGGUCAGUGUAAGGUAAGGGUGACCCAUCAUAGAAAAAAGUCGGCAGAUUGUCAGACCUGGAAUUUACACACAUCACUUGGGAUUUCUGCGUAUUAACAACCAAAGAUGUCUUCAUGGCAUAGUCUUUCAAGUUGUCUAGAAGUUUUUGUAAACUUGGUUGCCUGUUUGCUGUAAAAGCCAGUUCAUCAGCAAAAAGUAUGUGUGUCACCGUUAAAUUUGGGAUGGCUGUCAGAGCACCUUGUACACCCUCCUCUUAGAACCCAAACUCCUGGCGUAAAAAAUUCCAGCUUCUCCUUCCUGACAAUAUCAAUGUCACAGACAACCCUGCACACAACAGCAACAUCACAUAACAUAACAAACAUGUGUAUAAGCGGCCCUUACAACCUAAAUUUUAUGACUGGCGACAAGUGACAUACACAGAUGGGAGUUUCUCCUCCACCAAAGAUAAUAGCACAAACCACUCAGGCGCAUCCUUCAUUACCCCCCAAGCCAACACAAACUCUAACACCAUCAGUUGCAAAAUAAAUCCAAACGGCCAUGGACCAACAAAUACCGUAACCCGCGCAGAAUUGGCAGCCAUCUAUGUAGCUCUAAAGCAUCGACGAACGCAUAUUGCAACUGACAGCGCUGCUGCACUCAAUGAGAUUCGGAACAUGCUUAUGAAGCCUCUGGUUAUGACUUACCACCUACACUCAGACCUACUUACAGAAAUUGUAGCUCUUAUAGAUGCAGCAGACACUCCCAUCCACUUUAGCAAAGUUAAAUCACAUUCUGGCAUUAUUGGGAAUGAAAGCGCUGAUGCACUGGCCUUCCAAGCAGCAGAAGCGCCAGCCAGCUCUGAUGUUACACUCAACAACACAAAAGACCCUUUCUUUGAUGUGUACUGGCUGGCUACUCCCUUUAAAAAACCUGGCUCUCGGACAGAAGAGCUCUGGAGCCUUCCAAAUUUACGUGACAAAUUAAAACAAAUCAUGCAUUCCAACACCGACUCAGAAGUGCCAAUACCAAUACAUAUAGCUACACUAACUGGCAAGAUCUCCUGCACUCUGCCCAUGGCCAGCCCGUAGCCAACCCUAAAUUAAGUAAUGCUUUCUGGCACCUGAAGGCUGUCACUCUUAAAGAACAAAUUAACGUUCUCAAGUACAGAACAGACACCCUAUACAACGAGAAACAUGCCCUACACUUUAGUGGCCAACAUGGUCCUGCCUAUUGCCCCUAUGUGGCAAUCAAGACAGCAUCUCUCAUUCUUUACUUAGAUGCACCCACCCCCAGAUUAAUAGAAUGUGUUUUGAUCGGCAUCAUCAAGCAGUCAGCUGGUGCUUCCAAGAAAUCAGCAAAGGUGACUCGGGUCUUUUCAUUGUGGGAAUGGACGCUACCAGCAGGGAAGAUCUCUGGAACCAAGGCAUGGAAGUCCCAGAAAAUGUCUAUAGGGACAUCCCAGACUGGCUGUAUCCCUCAGGAAGAAACCCUCGGACACAGGAAAGCCGCCCAGAUGGCAUUAUUGUUUUACCCAUGCAAGGCAGGAAUUCCUUUUCCUCUCCUAUGCACAAGAAUCCAAGAGACCGUGACAUCCACCUCAUGGAAUUGAAAUUCUGCUCAGAUACUAAACUUGAAGAAACUCUUGCUGUAGCCCAAGCUCAACAUAAGCACACCAUGCACAGCCUAAGAACAAGACCUCUCAGAGGAGCACAUCGCAAUAACAGAGUCUCUUUACACACCAUACUGAUAGGAGUUGCAGGAACUAUUUACAACAACUAUACAAUAAAACCCCUCACUGAGCUUGGUCUAAACAAAGAAAAAGCACAAACACUUGCCAAAUCACUCCAAUGCCAUGCUGUAAAGGCCCUGACAAAAAUCCAAAGCACCAAAAAUGCCAUCAAAUUCAGCAAUUCAAACAAUGGGGGCUCGGGGGGGGGGACGGCCGGCCGGACCUACAGGAGGGCCAGGCGCACGCUUGGCCGGAUGGAGGACAACCCACCGGAUCCUCAUUAGUUUGGUUGCCUUAGUUAGCUUAAGCUGGUGGGGCCCCCUGUUAUGCUUCAGCGCUGACUGUUGGGUACUUUCCUUAAUGCACGCUGGUUUGUAUCCAGCGUAGACUUUUACUUUUACUUUUCACCCUCUGCAACAGUAUCAAUAUCGUUGAGAUAGAUCGCAAAAAAAAGAGGACAUCCUUGUUUAACUCCACACACUGGCUGAACACUAGCCAUUUCGUCACCAUCAAGCAGAGUAUAUUCAUCCAUGUGAUACAGAUCCUGGAGAAUAGCAAUGAGUAGUUGAGGUAGUUGACAAUGAUACAGAUGUUUCCACAGCUUUUCCCGAGGAACAGAGUCGUAAGCUUGCUGAAAAUCAACAAAUGCUGUAAACAAUCUGGAGAUAUCAUUCCGAGCUUUUUGGCCUGCGUUUUUCAGAUGUCGUAGGAUCAAGAUUGGUUGAAGAGUACUUCUUCCUGGGUAAAAUCCAAACUGGGUAUCAGGGAUUUUUCUGUGGUGGAUACACCAUUCUUGGAUAAUGGAUCUCAGGACAUUGGUGUACAGCCGAUAGAUAGGAGCGCUCACAGCUAUCAUCCUAUAAUUAGUUGGAGAAACAACGGGGCCCUUCUUAUGGAUUGGGGUGAGUUUAGGUUCCUUGAAAGCAUCUGGAACACGUGCUUUCCAAAGAAGUAGGUGGAGAAAGGAAGCUAUAUGUGAUGCCAAUACACGCCUUCCUCCAACACUCCCAACAGACCGCCUGUCAACAACACUCCUGGCGCAAACUCUCCCACAGCGCAUGUAGUCUCCGUGCAAACACACUGAUCAAGCCAACCCCUACCCCAACCUGUCAGAUUGCCCACUGCCACCGGCACCACCAGCCCCUAACGCAUAUGUCACAUCCGGCACCUUGUCUGAUAUUGAUGAGGAAGAGGAAUCAUAUUUCUCUCCCGCCCCUUCGUGCUGUGACUCCCCAGAGCCUCCACACCUCACCAAUUCUCUGGAGCCAGGUGUUGAGUUCACUUUGGAAUUUGAUGACUCGGCCUUGCUGACCCCGCUGGCACCAGCACAGCCGCAGGCUCAUGCAAACGUACGACCGCCCUUACCUUUCCAAGCACCACCAUGGCCACUGCAAUCUGAUCAGCCUGCUCCACCAAUUCAUUCUACUUCCACCAUGGCCCAAGGCACCACUCAAGCACGCCCUUCCCCCUCACCAACUCACCGGCCUACCCCAUUUUUGGCCCCUUUUGCUCCCCGUGCCUGUGCUGUACAGCCAACAAGGGUUUUGCGUCCAGGCCCACCUGCUACAAUGCAGCGCCCUCACAUUCAGGCACCAAUCAACUCAUGGACACUCCAGCAAGUCUUGCAGCUGUGCCAUGAACACGGCGACACCACGUGGCUUUUUGCGCAAGCUGGCCCCGCCUGCACUACACAUCUAUACCGACAUCUAUACCGCAGACCAGCGCCUUAACUACCGCUCUGCUCAAUGCCUCUGAAUGCUUCAGCCCGGACAAUGAUGGCCCCACUGUGCACCUUACGUCCGCAGACAACCAGGUUGCCACGCUGCAUCACGCAACGCCACUCACACCUCUCACCCUCACACACGACGGGUACUCUUUUCACCCUGGCACUGCGCUGUUAGAUGGCUGCGCCGACAUUGGCCUUGUGUCUUAUCACGCUGCGCGGCAGCACGGCUUGCGCUACUACCCCAACAACACCACAUACAACUCUUCAGGGGGAAAGUCCCACAAUCCUCUUGGGCGCGUUGACCUUCCCAUCCUGGCAACCAUUCAGGCCUCUCCUGAUACUGCUGCUACUACAUACAGGUACAGUUACAGAGAAGAAAGGCCUCCAGUCAAAUCAACUGACUGCUAGCCUGUUCAUCAAAAAAAGUAAAAGUUCAUGCAGGAAAGGAUAAAGUUCAUUAUUGUUUUGGAUCAAAAAACAUCGCAUGGCAUGCGUUGGAACAUGGUGAGAUGCAUGCAGGAAAAGGUGCCGCUUGAGAUUCUGGAGUUGUGAGGGAAAGGGCAUGUUCAUCAAACAAGGAUGCAUAUUUCCUUCUAAGAUUGCAAACAUGAGGGUGAGUACAUUUAAAUAACACAUGUUGUUCAUCCUGAAUGUCAUUGUGAGCAUCACACAGAUCGCACUUAGGAUCAAUAUUCUCAUUCCAGUAGUUUAGCUCAAUCCUCAAAAGAUGAACACGUAACCGAAAGCGGGCAACACUGCGUAAAAUAUGUGUGGGUAGAUCCAAAUGGAAGUACUUGGGCAGACGACAUGGGGAGAAGGUAGCAUGAGCGUCACGUUGUGGAAGGGCACAGUGAUGGUAGGUAAACGUUUUACCGACGUUUUACUGUUCGUGUCAGGUUCCCGCGGCUGACGAGCAGUAAAAAAGGGUUGCUGCCAAAAUGCCAAAUGACGUUUCCGAAGGUCUACAACAAGUUGACUCAAAUUCAGAGGACUGCCAUUGAGAAUAUGAUGAUGAUAAGACGAAGUACGCCUGAGACCUUGUGUACCAAGCAAGAGAUGAGAAAUCCAGCAUGCAGGAUGGAAUUGGCUGAGUGAAAUGUCCGCCUGAAAAACCUUACGAAGGAGAGGGCUAUUACAAAAAAUGAGGUUAUUGUAAAGGCGUGCACAUGCUCGAAGCCAAUUCAAUUGCAUGGGUUCCAAGCCACAUUCCCGUAACACACUCCAUGAAGGUGUAGAAUUCCUGACCCCAAGUAUGGUGCGUAAAAAUCGUAAGAGCCACUUUUGAAUGCAAUUUUCCAUCUCUUGACCCUGUUGCAGAUAGGAGGUGGCCCAAAUCUGAGAAGCGUAAAUGCCGGCUGGGAUGACAUAAGUUUUGAAUAACCAGAGAUACGCAUGUAAACGGUGAGUGAGACCAUGUUGUUGAAUAAAAGUACGUAUUCUGGUCAUGCUUGCCAGGCACGGCUUGAUAGCUUCCUCUGCAGCUUUGUUCAGAUUGAACUUCUUGUCACAAAACAUGCCUAGAUACUUGAAAUGCUCAGAGAAAGGCAGUUCCUCAUUGUUGUACAGGAGAGUAGGCAUAUUGUGUCCUUGAGAAUUAAAGCACACCACAACAGAUUUCUGUGUGUUGACGGUCAGGAAUUUGUCACGGAGGUAUGUGGAAAGACGAUUCAGCAUUUGCUGCAARCUGGACGGAGAGUUAGAAGUGAGGCACAGGUCGUCGGCAUAGAGGAGAUGAGAGACAGUAAAGCUGGGAAUUCCUGUACACGCGGCUGGGAUAUCAUGAAAGAUGUUAGGGAUGUCAUUCAGGUACAAAGAAAAGAGCAAAGGAGAUAAGGGACAACCUUGUUUGACACCAUGUGUUGGUUUGAUACGCGCGUGUUUGCCUCCAUCAACCAAAAUGUAUUCAUCAUCUUGGUACAGAUUCAUAAGAAUAUGAAUGGAAUGUGAAGGCAGUCGACACUUCUGUAAAUGUUGCCAGAGUCGAUGCCUGGGUACAGAGUCAUACGCUUGCUGGAAAUCAAUAAAGGCAGCAUACAGACGAGGAGAGUGAUGUGGUUGAUGACUUUGUGCAGCAUUCCUCAGAUGACGGAGAAGCUGCUACUACAUACUCUCCCAUACCUUCUUUGUGUUCAAGGAUGUCGGCCCUCAAGCCCAUUUCCUACUGCCCACAGCUGUCAUCAAGGACUGGGGUGCCAUGAUUGACUCUGUCACAAACACGCUGCACUACUGCCCGUUCCUCGACGACCCUUUCCACUUCCAAUCAGUGCCUAUCUGCGCAUCAGUGCCUCAGGCAUCCAGUGUCCAUGCCACUUUGGGCGCCCCUGGCCAUGAAGCGUGUGCAGCCCCGGCCACUCUACCACCAUGCACUUUGGAGAUGACGCUGCCCCAUGGUCAUUCCCCUUCACCCCACGAUGAAUGCUUCAAUCAAGAGUCAGAGACUGGCGUGCAUUUGGGCAACCACCCUGAAUUUCUGCGGAUCAGCAGCAGUGCCUCAUUGAGCUGUUGCAGCGCCACCACUCCACCUUCGCUCAAGACUUGGCCAGCAUGCCCGGCUAACAUGGUGUUGCCGGCCCCUUUACCAUUCCCCUCAUUCACGACAACCCCAUCAUCGCGCCGCGCUGCCAGAAGUCCCCUCAACAAGAUGUGGCCAUAAUUAAUGAGAAAUGUGGUGACAUGGAGCAGGCAGACAUCAUCAUCCCCGCCCCUCCUUACACCAAGUAUGCCAGCGAAGUCACCAUGCCGGUGAAAAAGGACCCAUCCGACAACCUCACUGGCAAACGCUUCUGUGUCGACUACAGGCCUCUCAACGCCGCAUCCCUGCCAGAUUUUUAUGGCAUGCACACACCAGAUGACCUGUUCCGCCGCAUUGCUGGGGCUACAUUUUACUAAGAUUGACAUGCGCGCCGGGACCAUCAGAUCCCCGUGCACCCUGAUGACAUAUGCAAGACUGCAUUUUGGUGGCUCAACCGCAUCUAUUGCUAUGGGUGCAUGCCCUUUGGCGCCAGGAAUGCCAGUGCUCACUUUCAACGCGUGAUGGACACUGAAGUUCUCCAAGCCAACCUGGCCUACUGCUGCCUGGCACUUGUAGAUGACUGCCUGGUCUUUAGCUAUGACGCAGAGCAGCACCUGCAGGACAUUGCAGCCACUCUCAACAUGAUUCACUCCUGCGGCCUACGCAAACACCCCAGCAAGUCAUACUUUGCUGCGGACACUGUAGAGUUCUUGGGCCACCUGAUUUUACCACAUGGCCUCAGCCUAGAAAGGGCAAAGGUGGAAACCAUCAGGCAUCUCCCUCGUCCCACUGACCUCAAGGACCAGCAGUCCAAGUUGGGCCAGCUCGGAUACUACCGGCACUUUGUGCCCAAUUUCUCUGCCAUCGCAUAUCCAAUCAACCGGCUGGCCACCAAGGGAAUUACCUGGCGCUGGGGGGAAGAGCAGGCACAGGCUUAUGAGAAGCUCAAAGACGCCAUUUGCACCCCUGGCUUGGUAUGCACGCCCAACCCCAACAAGCCUUAUUACUUACACACUGACUUUAGUGCGCGCGACAUCGGGGCUGUCCUGGGGCAACUGGAUGAGAACGACAGGGAGUAUUUGGUGGCCUGUAUUUUGCGCUCCCUCAACCAGCAUGAGAAAAACUAUGAUGCCUACAAAGGCACAGAACCUCCUUGAUCCCGGGCGCUAUGUUCCGAUAUGCCAAAGAAGCCUCCCUCCACCUUACACCCCUGCCAACAUCCCCAAGUGGCCACCCCAAGUUCUGCCCACUCUGGUGUCCCAUCCCUUACUCACACAACUUCAGAGUUUUCAAACCAGGGUCUAUCUUUGCUUCAGAUCGCACCAUGACCCAACCCACCCUGAUGAGCGUGAACGCCUCCUGGGAUUUUUGACAGGAGGAACAGCAGCUCCAGGUGUGACAGAUCAGCAACGCCAUGUCGUCACUGGCAGGGCCAUGAGCCCUUUGCAACUCCUGCACCUCUUCCGUUGCCUGCACAUGGUACAGGGUUUACAGGGUUUACAGGAAAUAAAGGCCAUCAGUCAACACUCGCGACUGCCAGGCCUGCAAAUAAAGGUAACAUUUUCAAGAAGGAAAAGGUAAUAAAGGACUGGUUGAGAUGGGUCUGGACAGUUUGGGUUAAGGACUCAUCCUGAACUCCUAUAAAGUAUAAUAGUAAGUACCGAUGAAGGAGACACACCUCAUUCAAGCGUGAAAGGAAYGCAAAUUGCUGAACCCUACAUGGCAGUUUGUGAAGGUACUGGAUAACAUGCUUACAAGGCAGGUUGAAUACAUUAGCGCAUCAAGACCCUUGAGACUUCUGCCAUAUUUCCAUGCCGUCUUGCAAAGAUGUUGAAUGAGUGGAAAAGAAAUUCAGCGAGGCUCAGUUGUAAUCUUUGAAGUCRUUCAGUUCCACCAUCAGAGUGACGAAGGCCUGCAUCGCAUGUAUCAUUCUGCAUAUGGUUUUCUUUCUCACAGAUGGAAGGAGAGGUAGAGAGAGAUUGUGUGMUGUUAGCCUCAAUWGAUGCAGUUGGUAGGUUAAUUUUGUUCUURUAGUUCAUGCCGCCUUUGCCCAUGUUCAACAGCGGAUCGAAGAUGAAGUGUUCCCAGACGGGAUACUUGAAUGCCGGUGUAUCUUGUUUCUUGAAGUUUAAGGCAUCCCUUCUAUCUCCGUAUGAAAGGAAAAUGUUUGAACCGUUCACUCCAACGUAUGAAUUGAGGCCAACAAAUUUCGGUUGAGCGGAAAUGACACGCUGAAUGUCAGUAUUCAAGUCAUUCAAACUUCUCUCGCGUUGCAUAGUCAUCUUUGUGCGUUCCCUUUGCACUUUCCAAUCAUUUGGUAUUUUGUCCUUGACAGUGUUGAGGAACGAUUCCACAGCUAGAGAGCCCGCACGUCGCCCGUUUCCGACAAGAAUACGAAAUGUUGUGUUGUACUUGUUGCAUGGGAGGAUUGUCUUGUCUGUACCAAGGACAUGCGAUAUGGUGUUGGCAGAAACGCUGUCUUUAGUCACCACGAACGCAUGUCCAGAUAUGUCAUCAUAUUUGUGGCAAUCCAUUUCAGUAUCUUUCUCCCAUUUGGAAGCUGCAUCAUAAUCAUGCUUGCGAUUGCCGAAUUGUUGCUCAAAGUUGGAUAYGCGUCGUUGGAGUAACUGGUUUUGUGAUGUUGUUUCGUGCAAUKGUCUCGUUAAUGCCGUAGCUUGCUCACACGUACGGGCCUCUUUCUGCCGAAGUUUAGUGUCAAAGUGGUUGGCGAGCUCUAUUCGUGUAGGUAGUCUCCAUAUAACCAUGGACUUGGUGCUUCGUUCAGGAUGUGUCCUUGUUCGAUACUUUGUAAUCAUCUCAUCGGUUUUUUUUUUUUUUUUUGCACAUGGUACAUGCCGACUACAGUUCAUCAACAAUUGGGGGGGAUGCACCUCCUUCUCCACCUCCACACACAGCCAUCAACAAUUGUUGAUGAACCACUGGCCCCACGCACACCUUCACCCCCAACUGCGCCAUCCAUGUUUGACGAUCUUGGCAGUCCUGACCCGCACUCUGCCGUCAUCAGAGGCAUCCCUUCCUCCGUGUUCCUCACCCACGCGCAGCAACCCUUAGAUGACCUGGCUACCUCUGAUGAGGAAGAUGCUGAGUUUGAGUUUCGGCCAGAUUCUCUGCCUGACAAGCGCAUGUCCUGCAACCCCAUCCACCGGCCAGAAGCCCCUUACCGCCGUGAUCUGGAUUCAUAUAUGGAGGAGCAAGAGUUUUCACAGCGUGUCUUCCAGUCAGAAGCAGGGCAGGCAGCAGUGAAUGAGGCAGCUGACUUUGACGCUGAUGUGGCAAUUGCAAGCCUGGACAAAACGCAAGACAUCUAUGCGGACGCUGACUUCAUUUCCUACAACACCAAGACUUCCCUGAUGGCCUGGCCAAAGAGGAUCGUGACCGCAUACGCUGUAGGGCACGCUUCAAUUUCAUUGGAAAAGAUGGCCGGCUCCGCCAUCUUAAUAAUGCAGGCCACGCCAGGAUCAUCCCGCAUCCCUCAGAGCGCAUCCAACUGAUUGCGCAGUGGCAUGAGCAGUGUUGCCACUUUGGUGUCAAACGCACCCUCUCCCUCUUGGCACAGCAUUUUUGGUGGCAUGGGAUGGUUGACCAAGUCCGCCGUGUCAUACGCAAUUGCCCCGUCUGCUCACGUGCCAACGCGUCAUUCAAUGUCAAGACACCACAGCUGCACCCAUUGCCAGUGGAUGGAUUGUUUUUUCGAUGGAAUAUGGAUUUGGCAGGUCCCAUCUCAACCCCAUCAGUCCGCGGCAGCAGCUACAUCUUUGUGGCUGUACAGCAUAUGUCCAAAUACCUGAUCGCGGUGGCCAUUCCGGAUAAGACGGCUGCAACUGUCACUGCCACCUGCGUGGAGCGCAUCUUGACGGUCUUUGGCUCCAGCGCGCAAGUGCUGACUGACAAUGGGAGUGAGUUUCAGGGCGUGUUCCAAGAACUGUGCGUCAACCUGUGCAUAGACCACCGCAACACCUCCGCCAACUGCCCUCAGUCAGAUGGCCUUGCAAAAAAGGCUGUGCAGACCAUCAAACAAGCCCUCCGCAAGCACUUGAUAGUCAACCCCGACCAAGAUUGGGACACCAGGCUUCCUUGGGUUGCACUGGCAUACAACUGCAGCAUCCAGGAGGCCACCAAGUUCACCCCAUAUGAAGUGGUCUUCGCCAGAAAGCCCAUAAUCCCACCUGACACUGCCUCUGCUUUUGCCCAGCCCCUGUCCAUUGCUACCCCUGAAGACCUUGCCCAACUGUGCCAAGAAAGAGCCCAGGCAGCUGAGCGCGCCAGCAUCAUUGCUGGUGAGAACAUCAAGAUUGCACAACACAGGGACAAGCUUUGGAACGCCCGCCUCAGAGGGGGAGGCUACACGCCCAAGCUUUUGGAGUUCCACGCUGGCAACCUGGUGUAUUUGCAGCGGAGCAACCAUGCCCACAGCCUCCAGCCCACCGUAUUGCAGCGCAUAUACCGGAUGCUUAUCCCGCCAGUAGCCGGGGCUGUCAAGCUCCAAGGAAGGGAUGGCCGCACCAUUACCACCAACGUACGCAACUGUGCCCCAAGCCACAUGACCGUGGACCUUACUGUUUAUCACACACUGGCACGUCCUGACGCCAGCUUGUCAUGUGAGAUAUGCAGCCUUCCACACCAGGCCCUCAUGCUGUAAUGUGACGCAUGCGAUGCAGGCUACCACACCUACUGCCUCCGGCCCCCAUUGCCACGCGUACCCUGGGGCAUCUGGCUCUGCCCUGCCUGCCUUGAUGACGGCAUCACUGCUGACCAGGUCAAGCAGAUCCAAGAAGUAGAGGAGGCACAACCUGAGCAGCGCCAACGCAUGAUUUUGUCACCCCGCCGUGGCAGGCCUUCCCGUAGCGCAUCCCCGCAGCAAGCAGAACAUGCACCGCCUAAGCAGCAGCAGCAGGGACCCGUCACCCCGCCGCAGCAGGCGCACGCGCAGCCUGGCCUCUAUCUAUGCAUCCUAGCUCUUGGGCUGAGCUGCAGGCCCAGGCCACUCAACCUUCAACCCAUGCCUCACCACGUUCGGCCUGAGGCCACCCAACCUCCAACUCUUGCCACACCUCGUAUAAGCCCUGUCCUUCGCCUAUUGCAAUACCCACCAGGCAACCUCACCUCCAACUCGUGCUACACCACGUCCAAGCCCCAUCCUUUGCCUUACGCAACGCACGCCUGUCCAUCAUGCCACCAGCCCAUGCUUCGCCAUAUACACGCCUUCUUCACCUUACGUUCCCUCAAUCCAAUCUUCCAUCACCCCUUGCCCCCUAGACACCCAGACAACGAACAACCUGACCUCGCUCAGACAACGGACAGCCUGAAACCGCCCAGACAACGGACAAUCUGACCUUGCCUCAACGACGGGCAACCUGACAUUACCUUGGCUAUGGUCAACCUGUCAUCAGGCUUGAGGAAUUUAUGCCGCAAAACGAAUCAUCCUUGGCAGGUUUACGCCCACUGUUUCCACCCUUGAAGCCCAUCCCCUGGAGACCCCUGGCUUUCACUGUAACCCGUUCAUGACAACCUGCCUUCCCUGAGCUCAAUGUCAACACCAUAGGUUACCUGAGACCGACCCAGAUCUGGCGUAGAUGUCCACCUUGAGGGGUGUAGAUGUCCGCCUGACGUUAAGCGUAGAUGUCCGCCCAGUGCUGGCAUAGAUGUCCGCCUGAAUUCAGUACAGACGUCUCACCAACUUCAAGCCUUAAAACAAGUGUGCAACUUCCUCAACAGAGACAGGAGGAACAAGCACCCUUCAAACUUGCCUGCAAUGGAUCAGAAUAAGAUCACCUACAGUGACAUCAAUAGAGAAAUCAACAACAUAGACAUACAGCACAAUGGUAAGCCUCACAAGAAUGCAAAGAAAAAGCUGCAGGAAAGCAUUGCUAAGCAUCCAUCCCGCGCGAGCCAUAAAAUUUUCAAUUAUGUCCAGAACUAAUCCCCCAAUCUUAUGGCACUGGAAGAUCCGCAUACCAAAACAGUCCAAACAGACCCAGCUGUCAUGCGCAUUGUCGUCCGCGCAUCAUUAAUGUCGCGAGUGCAGUGUGAACUGAGGGCCUCUGGGCCAAACUGURUAUUAUUCCUAGUAAAGACAACCAGUGCAGGCCUGAGUGCACCAUGUGCAAACCAAUGUAGCGUAGGCCUGAGUGCACCAUGUGCAAACCAAUGUAGUAAUGCCUUUGCAGUAGUGUGCGUGCCCUGUGGCAAACCAUAAGAGACGUUCAUUGCUCAGUAGGGUGUGCACUAUUUGGGCCAUGCUUCAUGCAGAAAAAUGCACGGGCUUGGACUGCUUUCGCCUCUGGUGGGCGCAUCACUUGAGUUGUGCAGGAUGCCAAGGAUGCGUCUUCAUCUUCCUUACUUAAUGCCACUGUGUGCUUUUUGUGUGCUUUGGAUUCAUGCAUUCCAUCUCAUUUAACAUGGCCUGGUGAUUGUGCAGGUGCUCAGCCAUUUCAAGUACUGUGAUCUUAGGCUGUCAAUGCGUAUGGAAACCAAGCGCGGAUGCAGUUCCUUGUUGUUGCUGCACUUGACGAGCAGCAUCUUCAAAGCCUUGUCAUUGCUGAUAGUUGAAGCUUUGUGCACCUUGACAAAUUUUUGCGCAAACAUGGAGGUCCAUGCCAUGCACCAGCUGCAUAUUACACAGUUCUUGGUCAGGGUGUGCAGCCAUGUGUCUGAAGUGCUCCUGGACCGCUUCCAGAUGGUGCUCGUGCAUGGACCUACCCUCCGAUGGCGUGGCAAUGAGGGCAUACCGGUUUGCCUCAUACCAUUCCUGGCUGGCGUCUCUGUCUUGAAUGCCGCGAGUCAGAAAAAUAUCAACAAGAUCAGCCUCUGAAAUGCUAUUGUUGCCCUUGUUCAAGAGAGCUGUCCUGGCAAAACCACCAUUUGGCCGGGCUGAUCCAGUCAUGCAAAUCAUCCUUGCCCUUCUCGCCCCUAAUUUGUGGAGCUGACUCAGGGAUGUUGGUUGCAGGCAUUCCUUCCAAAUUUGCUAAAGGGUCGUCAAGUGUUCUUAACCCUGUCUCUGGUGCCUAAAACACUUCUUCCUGGUCUUGAGGUUCUGUGCUGACCACUGGUUUGGCUGGUUGGUGAGCACUAGCCUCUCCUAGAUUUUUGGUACUGGUUUCUAUCAAUGGCGCAGCUUGUUGGCUGGUGCCAGCAUUUACUUGCUGUUGAUUGGCAGCAUCUUGUUCUAAUUCUCUUCUAUCAGCAGCCUCCUUUUGCAGUUUAGCCUGCAACCUGGUUAAAGGUAUACCCAUUCAUAACAAGAGCCCUUGGAGGAGGAGUGGGCGCAGCAGCCCACCGUCUAAUUAUUUGAGAACACAUAUGCAGGUCAUGCAACACGCACUGAUGCUCUAAAUGAUUUCUCCUUGUUUCACAUGGUGACAAGAAUCCCUAUUCCAUUGUUUUUGUUUUCCUUUUCUUUGGUGGCAAGAUCAGCUAGGUCGAUGCACUUCAAAAUGGAUGGUCUCUAUGGGCAAGAUAAUGCAAGCUGUCUGUUGUUCUUCAAGCAACUCCCAAAAGAGAAAGAGAGAUACAGAUCACUACACGAAGCCUGAGGCUGGGUUCACUGACCAAUGCGGCGCAGGCCGCUGCAUGCUGAGGAGUUGAUCACAUUGAUGGUGACCUGCCCAUUGAAGUACAUGCCCUGCUGCACCGUCUGCAUGGGCAUGGGUGGUAGCUGCUCGACGAAGGGCUGCAUCCAGGGAGCCCUCGGUGCGUCCAUGGGAAGGUGCCGCCAGAGCUUGAAGUUGCACUCCUCGUUUAGGUGGGGAGGAGUGUGGCGGCAGUGACCAUUGUGGAUGCACCAGGCAUUGUCGGGGAAGGCCCAAUGCAGCUGCAUGCGCGAAAAGAAAGAAAGAAAGAAAAAUCUACGCCCUUGAGCGUGCAUUAAGGGAAGAACCUGUCAGGGAACUCACCAACCACCCGGAUUCCUCCAAGUUUCUUGUGCGCGCACUGGGGUAGGCCGGAUCCCUCAGGUUUGCGCGGCGCUGCUGCAACAUGCCUCCACCCCCAAAGUGCAUGGGUGGUGCACCUCUCAUGGCGCCCCGCAUGCCACCCCGCAUGGCACCUCUCAUGUUACCCCUCAUGGCACCCCUCCCCUAGUGAAGGCCUGGGUAAGGCUGCCUCCUGCUCCAUGGCCAGGGUAUCCCCGCGCUUGCCGCGGCCACAACCCCGGCCACAACCCCGACCACAACCCCAAAUAUCCUGCUGCUGGAUGGGCUGCACAAUACCUUCCAUCUCAUCAUCGGGAGCGUGCUGGACUUGCUGCUGACCAUGGGGGGGGUACCUGCUGGACUUGCUGCUGGCCAAUCUGACCAGCGAUCUCGUCCAAAGUUCUCACCAUGGUCAAAGCAUUUUCUUCAUGCUGACUUGCAAUUUCUGCGCAUGCAUCAAAUUUCAGAAAGGCACGCGUGCCUGACUUGUCUUGUCAAAACACAAUUUUCCCUUUAAAUAUGUGUGCCAUAUCCCAAUAUGCCCUGUUACUUGGAAGAAUAAUCUUUGUCAAAGAGAGCUCAGAUUGAGGCGGCAUAAAAAAAUGGAAAGGCCCCCCUUGUCUCAAUGCGGGUAGAUCACAGGCCUUUCCACCUUUAGUCUGCAUUCCACCCUCUACGUGAAUGGACGGCCUUGAUUCCCCCCAUUAGGCUUUGAUACCACGCACCUACUGUGUUGGCCGGCCUUAAUUCCCCCCAUAAGGCUUCAACCUCCCAAUCGCGGGCAGAUAAAAAACUGUCCAAUUUUUCAUUAUAGCCCAGCAGUCAUCCAUUUUGACUGAGUGGCUCUUUCCUUGUAACCUUGUAACCUCCCAAUCGCGGGCAGAAGGCCUUCAAUCCCCAGGUAACUGCACACCAGUGGUGUCGUAAGCUAAUCUAAAAUCAAGAAGGCCCCUCCCCUGUUGUCGGUGAAUGACUAGCCUCUCUCCCUUAAGGCUUUGAUUCCACCCUAAAAGUAGUCAUCUCUAGUCUAUUGCGGGUGGACGGCCUUGAUUUCCCCCCGUAAAGCUUCUCAACCAGGUACUCUGCCAUGGCGGGCCUUUGAUCCCCCCUUGAGGCUACAAGCCACCCCACUGCGGGCAGUUGGCCCUCACACCCAGUCAGGGACAGUCACCUUUUCAUGCAGAUCAUGAAAUGCCCCCAACUUGCCGCAUCAACAAAGCCUUAAUGCUCAUCCUAGGCAGGCAGCAGUGGAUAGCAUUUAAAGUUUCAGCUUGAUACGUCUACGUUUCCUUGAAGGAAACCACUUGCUUCUGGUUUUGUAAAGUGCUUUCAGCUUGCAUGCUCGCUUGCACAGGGAACUUAAUCACUGAGCACUGCAUGUGCUGGCUACACAAAUAAGACAUGACUUUGACGAUGGACGCGUGGCCCUAAACCUAACACUGAUGAUGUGUGAGAGCUCAAACAUGACAGCCAGAGAUGAGGUGCAGAUUACCACCCCCAUUGACCUUUGGAGCGUCUUGUAAAGGCUACAUUUCUGACCACACUGAUGCCGCCAAUGGCGAGGCAUAAAUCUAGGAUAAUGGCUCUGAGACUCGGCAUAGCAAGUGGGGGGUAUACAGAGUUACAGAGUUACAGAGGAAAAAAGGCCUCCAGUCAAACCGACUGACUGCUAGCCUGUUCAUAAAAAAGUAGGAGUUCAUGCAGGAAAGGAUAAAGUUUAUUAUUGUUUUGAUUCAAAAAAGAACGCAUGGCAUGCGGUGAGACAUGGUGAGAUGCAUGCAGGAACGGUGCCGCUUGAGACUCCGGAGUUGAGAGGGAAAGGGCAUGUCCAUUAAACAAAGAUGCAUAUUUCCUUCUAUGGUUGCAAACAUGAGGGUGAGUACACUUAAAUAGCACAUGUUGUUCAUCCUGAGCGUCAUCAUUAGCAUCACACAGAUCGCACUUAGGAUCAAUAUCUUCAUUCCAGUAGUUGAGCUCAAUCCUCAAAAGAUGAACACGUAACCGAAAGCGGGCAACACUGUGUAAAAUAUGUGUGGGUAGAUCCAAAUGGAAGUACUUAGGCAGACGACAUGGGGAGAAGGUAGCAUGAGCGUCACGUUGUGGAAGGGCACACCAAUGAUGAUAAGUGAACGUUUUACUGUUCGUCUCAGGUUCUCGUGGCUGACGAGCAGUAAAAAAGGGUUGCUGCCAAAAUGCCAAAUGACGUUUCCGAAGAUCUACAACAAGUUGACUCAGAUUCAGAGGACUGCCAUUGUUAAUAUGAUGAUGGUAAGAUGGAGUAUGCCUAAGACCUUGUGUACCAAGCAAGAGAUGAGAAAUCCAGCAUGCAGGAUGGAAUUGGCUGAGUGAAAUGUCUGCCUGAAAAACCUUACGAAGGAGAGGGCUAUUACAAAAAAUGAGAUUGUUGUAAAGGCGUGCACAUGCUCGAAGCCAAUUCAAUUGCAUGGGUUCCAAGCCACAUUCCCGUAACACACUCCAUGAAGGUGUAGAAUUCCUGACNNNNNNNNNNNNNNNNNNNNNNNNNNNNNNNNNNNNNNNNNNNNNNNNNNNNNNNNNNNNNNNNNNNNNNNNNNNNNNNNNNNNNNNNNNNNNNNNNNNNNNNNNNNNNNNNNNNNNNNNNNNNNNNNNNNNNNNNNNNNNNNNNNNNNNNNNNNNNNNNNNNNNNNNNNNNNNNNNNNNNNNNNNNNNNNNNNNNNNNNNNNNNNNNNNNNNNNNNNNNNNNNNNNNNNNNNNNNNNNNNNNNNNNNNNNNNNNNNNNNNNNNNNNNNNNNNNNNNNNNNNNNNNNNNNNNNNNNNNNNNNNNNNNNNNNNNNNNNNNNNNNNNNNNNNNNNNNNNNNNNNNNNNNNNNNNNNNNNNNNNNNNNNNNNNNNNNNNNNNNNNNNNNNNNNNNNNNNNNNNNNNNNNNNNNNNNNNNNNNNNNNNNNNNNNNNNNNNNNNNNNNNNNNNNNNNNNNNNNNNNNNNNNNNNNNNNNNNNNNNNNNNNNNNNNNNNNNNNNNNNNNNNNNNNNNNNNNNNNNNNNNNNNNNNNNNNNNNNNNNNNNNNNNNNNNNNNNNNNNNNNNNNNNNNNNNNNNNNNNNNNNNNNNNNNNNNNNNNNNNNNNNNNNNNNNNNNNNNNNNNNNNNNNNNNNNNNNNNNNNNNNNNNNNNNNNNNNNNNNNNNNNNNNNNNNNNNNNNNNNNNNNNNNNNNGAACUCGUGCAGCAUUCCUCAAAUGACGAAGAAUAAAGAGUGGGUGAAGAGUACUGCGCCCGGGGUAAAAACCAAAUUGAGAGUCAGGUAUUGAAUGAGUUUGCUCAUACCAGUCUUGUAAAAGGGUACGAAGCACGUUGGUAUAAAGGCGGUAAAAGGUCCCACUUACAGCAAGCAUGCGGUAAUUACUGGCAUGCACAAUGGAACCUUUUUUAUACAKAGGGGUGAGUUUAGCAGUCUUCCACUCAGAGGGUAUGGAGGCUUUAAUAAAAAGCAAAUGAAAAAAGGUUGAAAUGAUUGGUGUCAAAACAUUGGUUUGUUGGAAGGCUCUGCCGUCAUCAUGCCUAACCACUGUGCAAGCAUACUUGAGAAAAGCUGGCAAAAUAGAGUCAAAUCCUGGUGAUGAGCUACCCUUGAGGCGUGAAAGGUGAAGUGCUACAAUCUUACGUAAUUGACUCUCAUCAGGAAGAGGAAAACCAUCAAAAGAGGGCGCAUCGUUAUGUGACUGGUGGUGCCCAUUAAGGGAAGGGACAGUACGUGCACGAAGUGAAGAAGAGGAGCUCGUGGAUCGUACGAAAACUUUAGACAGAUGUUCCUGCCAUGCUGAAAGGGACACGGGUGUGGUAUGUUUGACAGGUUGCUGUCUCAAGAAGGAAUGAACAAAUGGAUCCUUGUGGUAGAGUUUGUCCAUGAAGGAGGCAGCGCGCGCAUGGGUAAAUCUGCGUUUUGACCGUUGAACUUGCGCCUUGUAUUGGCGAUGAAGUUGUUGGCAAGCAUGCCAGGCUAGCCCAGAUUUAACUGCGAGAAGAAACUCUUUCUUUCUGGUUGCACAUUCCAGAUCAAACCAAAAGGGUCGUCUAGAAGUUGAACGAGGAAAAGUUGACCUGGAUAUAGUCAUGCCCACUUGAGGGUCACACGCUGUCUGUAUUAUCCAUGAUUUGAGCUCCUGAUAUGAAGAAUCAACAUCUUGUGCCCGAAUAUGAUGUAAAAAAGGGUUACGUUUCUUGUCAUUGUUACGGAGGAGUUGAGCAAAAAGGGUGGCGCAAUCCGGUCGCCAUCUUAAGAGAAAUUCUUGGCAUUGUGUGGGUAAAAGAAAAUUACAUAUGGGUGAUUGAAGUCUCUUAUCAAUAUGCCCUGUUGGACUGGAAGAGGGGACAAAAAAAKUGGAUAGAGCGGCAUGAUCAAAACAUACAGGAUAUGUAAUAUGGGCAUGGUGUAAAAGAGAGAAGAGUUCUAGAGAACAUAGAAAGUGAUCUGGACGAGAAUUAGAUAGAUUGUCAUAUCCUUUAUAUGUCCGUUGACCCGAGUCUCCAUCUACAUGUCCUGUAGUUAUGAGAAGCUUGUAAGUAGCUGCCAAAUCAAGGAGGCGUAUGCCCGCUCUGUUAACUUGAGAGCACCGAGAUUGCCUAUUAUGAGUAAGGUAAGGAUGUCGUGAGAGAAACUCAUAAUGUAUAUCAGAAAGUUCUUUUGUGUCGGCAAUAUGGGCAUUGAAAUCCCCACCAAUAAGAAUAUGUGGUGUUUGUGAAUAAGCCUGAAAAAUCUCUUCACCUAGGGAGAAGUAGAGAUUAUCGAUGGGGGGUAUACUACGUGCACAUGCGUCUCACAGAACAGAUUUUUAGGCAGCGCGCCCAUUCAUUGCUUAACCCCGCUUGCUUUAUCAGACAUCACAAUAGCACUUGCACCCACUUCGGCGCUGUGCUUGUGGCUCCAGGCUCUGGUGCAGUGCUGCUUUUUGGCUGGUUUUGCCUGUGGCGAGGUUUGCUUCUUCACUCGGCUAACUGUGCAGUGCACGCAAAGAGUGCAUACAGCGUUCAGAGAAGUUUAGUUCGAUGUUGCUGUGGCUUACAACAAGUGGCUAGUUAGCUGGGGCGCCCAGCUUUGGCAAAUGGCUUCACUGAAUGGCAACUACUUGAAUGUUGGCGCGACACAUAAUGCACAGGCUUCAUGCAUACUUUCUUUCCUACUAAGGCUACUGCUUUGCGCUGAGCGCACUGAUGCUGACGACACACUUAACUGGUGGUGCUGCUGCUGCACUCCUUCUCCUUGGGCUGAAAGGCCUUUGCCUUGCAUGAAGGUGGGCUCAGAUAGGGCUGCUGCUAGUAUCUUACACACUCCUGGAUCUUACACAGUCCUAGAUAACAAGAACAAUCAGAAAGGUGGCGCUAUUACGAGUUACUGAAUAAAAGUUCUCUAAACGCAGCCACAGCUGCGUAAUCACAGGUGUAAUUAUCAAAGGUUCAACCGACACAACAAUUUUGCAGCACAAUCUCACCUGCAGCAUACUCUCGGCGUGACAUGUUCAUUACUUUGUGCUUUGAAACAGGCUUUUGGAAACAUGUUGCAUUUCCAUGGGCUGUCGAAACACUUUGUGAAUAGCAGGCAUUGAAUCUAAAUCUAAAUAUCUUUAAAAAGGCUUGGUUGCAAAGAGACAAGAUAUUGCAUUUGUGGAUUGUGCUUUGCCUGAAAAUGUCUUUUAAAGUUGAAGACCAUUACCAUCUUGCAUUGCAUUUGUCAACAUACACUUUCCUGAGAUUACAUUUGGCCUUUUUGAUCUAUAUUCUUGCGUGGACGCACCACAAGAAAAGGGGAGCAAGUUUUUAUGUGAUUAGGGAUCAAGUGAGAAUUUCUGUGUGAGAUAUGAGAUCAAUCUUGGAAACUGAGGAAUCUCUUGUUUCUGCCCUUCUUAAUUAUACUUGUAACCACAACAGCCCUCCAACACUUGAGACCCUGCCAGCCUCAAGUCUCAGCGCCAGGUGUGACGUCAAGAAGGAAACCCAUUUUGCAAUUUUUUGUGCUAGAACUAGCCGAGUUUGUGACUGCUUGCUUGAAAUGAUGUGCAUGAUUUUGAGCAAUGCUUUUGAUUUUAUCUGGUUUGGUCUGGUUACAGACCUCUGUGUUUCUGCGCAGCUGCCCUUGAAGGCGGAUAUAACGUGUUACCUCACCUUACCUUACCUUAGCAUCUGUGGUGAAGCACUCGGUAAAGGUGACUUUGGACCCUUCAUUGUCUCAAUGGACGCUUGCAACCCAGAUAGGCUAACCUCCCUGGAUAUAGAAACCCCAAAUGAUGUUCAAAGAAACAUUCUGCAUUAGGUCUUCCCCUCCAGACAGCCACCAAACACGCAACUUAGUCGCCCUGACGGCAUCAUAGCAUUACCCCUGCCAGGCAGAGACUCCACCCAACACCCUAAGGACAUGAACCCCAGAGACAGGGACACUCACCUCAUUGAGCUGAAAUUCUGCCCAGACACCAGUCAACUCUCAAUACUGCACAAAACCAACACAAAAACACUAUAGAGAGCUUAUGCACAGAAAAACCUCCAAGGCUCACACUGCAAUAAGAAAGAUACUCUUCACACAAUCCUCAUAGAGUUGCAGGAACCAUUUAUAACACCACUAUUUGUAACACCAUUGAUAUCGACCAUGUAGCACUUUAUUAUUAUUUAUAUUAUUUAUAUUAUUGAUGUUAUUAUUAUUAUCAUUAUUACGGUGCGUUUCCAAAGGGGCAAUUAACAAUUAAUCAUUAACUCGAAAAAUGAAUUAAUGGCAAAUCGCGUUUCCAAAGCGCAAUUAAUUGGCGCAAUUAAUGAAUUAACGCAAUUAAUGCAGGAAUUAAUGUUAAUGGACGGGGGGGGGGGGUCCAUUAACCAUUAAUUGCUCGCAAUUAAUUCAGAAAUUCCGGUCAACGCCUGUUUAGGAUACGGAAAGGAAAUACCUUUGCAUGGAGAAGUCCUACAAACUUGGGUCAACUCCUGCAUACAGCAGGCUCCCUACCCACGUAACCCCCUCUCAUGCAGUCCACAGGUGUCUCUCCCCCCCCCGCCCCACUCUCCCUUCUCCCUCUAGUGUACACCUCUUGAGCCUUGCCCUCCUUCAUACCGUAAGCCUGCUCAGCGCUCGUUGCUGGGACGGUCAAAGCCCCAGUAUUCAGGAUUCCGACUCACCUCCCUUCAAAGGACAAAGACCUCCAUGAUGAAAGUGUCCAUGAUGUGUGUGUGUGCUCCUUCACGUCAUGUGCAAGUUCUCCAGCGUGGAGCUCCAAUGGAAGAGGCAGAGCUCCAGUGGGCUCCGCCCUUGAGGGCGCCUGCUCCACCCCGCAGCUUGGGGGGUCAUGCAUGGAAGGAGUCUUGGUCAGAAGCUUGAAAGGGCCAUGCAGUGCAUGUCUCCAAUUAAUUGGACCAAUUAAUUGCGCUCGGGCUUGGUUGGAAACGCAGAUGCACUUAAUUCAGCAAUUUUCAAUUAAUCGCAAUUAACAAAUGCAAUCAACGCAAAAUUAAUUGCAAGUUGUUGGAAACGCACCGUUAUUAUUAUUAUUAUUAUCAUUAUUAUUAUUAUUAUUAUUAUUAUUAUUAUUAUUAUUAUUAUUAUUAUUAUUAUUNNNNNNNNNNNNNNNNNNNNNNNNNNNNNNNNNNNNNNNNNNNNNNNNNNNNNNNNNNNNNNNNNNNNNNNNNNNNNNNNNNNNNNNNNNNNNNNNNNNNNNNNNNNNNNNNNNNNNNNNNNNNNNNNNNNNNNNNNNNNNNNNNNNNNNNNNNNNNNNNNNNNNNNNNNNNNNNNNNNNNNNNNNNNNNNNNNNNNNNNNNNNNNNNNNNNNNNNNNNNNNNNNNNNNNNNNNNNNGCCUCCUGGUUAUUGAAUAGAAAGGCAUACUUAGCACGCAAUGCAACGACAUGGGGGUGAGUACAGUGAAAAAUAACAUGUUUUUCAUCUUGAAUACAACCUAAUUCCUGACACAAAUCACAAUGAGAGGAAGAACCCUGAUUCCAAGUAGAUGUUUC